RNAcentral lists this long non-coding RNA (60733 nucleotides) under Phoenix dactylifera (date palm). RNAcentral's name for it is "long non-coding RNA (PDAC_LNC006692)". Lineage: Eukaryota; Viridiplantae; Streptophyta; Magnoliopsida; Arecales; Arecaceae. The record is from RNAcentral.
GAUGGGGCGAAUUCUGGCGUGCGGGCUGGUCCUGCGCGUUAUCAUUGUUGUCGCGUACUGGUGUUGGUCUUGGCUUGUGCCUAUUUGCCUUUGCUUGUUUUGGCCGCCUAGGGCUUGGUUAGCCUCUAGGCUUAUCAGUUGCCUGAUCUGGUCCUCGAGUGUUGCUUGGAUCUCGCCUGGCUGAGUGCCAUGGCUGUGUAGUUUUGGGGAGUUUCCAUCAAAGUCAUGAUGACUAUGAGUUGGUCAGAUGUUUGUCACGACCCAAACCCAGAUUCGUGACACGACUGUGCUAUUGCCGACUACUGCCCACAAUAGCACGAAGCCUCAUACAUGGGUAACAGGAUAGUCAGACUAGUCAAACUGUCAUAUAUUUAAAAUUUUCAGUGUAACUUACUGAAAGGUACAAAAUAUAGAGCUUCUAAAGAGUUUAUGUACACAAGUAUAAUUACCCCCAAAAGAUAGAAAUCCUGAUACAAAAAGAGUAUCUCUCGCCGCUAUCACUGGCGGUAAUCUGGAAGAAAAAUAUAAAUAAAAUGGUAUGAGCUACACGGCUCAGUAAGUAAUCCUGCAUAAUCUUAUCGGAUCAACUACAAUAUUAAGCAUUUUUAAGCAGGGUUUGGGAAGCUAACAUGAUCAUUACUUAACAAUUCUUCAUGAUAAAAUAUUCGUACUGAGUUGGUAAAUUGAUAUUUUAUAUCAACCAGUAUUUUCAUCAAAAUAUAACUUUAAACAGUACAUCGGCAUGCCGUGAUUUACUCUCUUUGAUGCUACUGCUCAGUCAUUAUCGGCCACUGGUCGGGCCAGCUCAGUCAUUCUCGGCCACUAGUGAGGCUAGCUUAGUUGCUUUCGGUCAGUAGCAUCUAAGAGCCCAUAAGUAGUACCUCUCGGAUGCUACGGCUCAGUCAUUCUCUGCCAGUGGCGGGGCCAGCUCAGUCAUUAUUGGCCACUGGCGGGGCCAGCUCAGUCAUUCUCGGCCACUGGCGAGGCCAGCUUAGUUGCAUUCAACCCGUAGCAUCUAAGAGCCUAUAUGUAGUACCUCUUGCAAGUAUUACACAUAGCUAAAUGCAAUUCAUUAUCAUAUCUUAUACUUAUACCUCAAUUACUAUAUUAAGUGCAAUUAUAGUAUCAAAAUCCAUCUCACACACAAAUCAACUUGCAUGCAUAAUCCUUUAAAAUCUUGACAAACGUUAUACACACAUGAUCCAUAAAGUAAUAAGAUUAAAGACAGACUACUUACGUAUAUGAUCCAUAAAUGUAAUAAGAUUAGGACAUGUUACUUACAUACAUGAUCCAUAACAAGAUUAAGACAAGUUACUUACACUUUAUAAUUUAUGUAAGAAAGCGUAUACAUGAUCCAUAAUGAGAUUAAGGCAAGUUACUUAAACUUUAUAAUUUAUGUAAGAAAGUGUAUACAUGAUCCAUAAUAAGAUUAAGGCAAGUUACUUACACUUUAUAAUUUAUGUAAGAAAGUGUAUACAUGAUCCAUAAUAAGAUUAAGGCAAGUUACUUACAGAAAUUCGCUUUCCAAUUUCUUACGUCUAGGUGACAAAUCCUUGAUCACCUAAAUUAAUAACAUAGGGACCACAUUAUUCCCUAUUUAUUCAUAAUUUCUUAACUUAUCAUAAUAUGAAUUUACUUGCUUGGAUCUCAAGUCCAAUUUACCCAAUUUGAAGCCUUUGUUCUCGAUUUAGAACCAAAUUGGGUUCACACAAGUCAAUUGGGCUUUUAAUUAAAGGAUUGGGCUUUGAGUCAGGGUCAGCCUGAGGCUAAUUUGCCCUUCAAUCGGUUGAAUUGGGCUUGAAUUGGGCCUUAUUUGAAAUCAAUUAGGUCUGCUGUGGCCAAUUUAGCUUAAGUGGGUUCGUACCCAGCUCAAUUGGGCUCGGGUUUAGCCCAAUUCAUUCAAUUGGGUCCGCUCAAACUUAGCUCAGCUCAAUUAGGCUUUGACCCGACUAAAUUGGGUUCGGAUUUAAUCCAAUUUACUCCAUUGGUCCAUCUGGACUCAGCUCAGUUUAAUAGAUUUGGACCCGACGUCAUUUGGGCUUGGAUUUAGCCCGAUCUAUUCAAUUGGGUUCGGAUUUAGGUCUAAUUGGGUUCGCCAAACCAUUUUCUUUUUAUUUGGGCCUAACGGGUUCUGGAUCCGAACCCGAAUCCGACCCGUUAGGCCGAACCCGUUUAAGGGUCCCAUUUUCCGAAGGCUUCUUGCCUCUUCGUCUCCCGCCCCCCUCUCUCUCUCUCUCUCCUUCGUCUCCACUGGAACCCUAGCCGCUCCGGCCGAGCCUUCGGCCUUCUCCUUCUCCGACCUUGUUCUUUUCUUCCUCCCUUGCAGCCCUUCAUCUCCUCCCCUUCCUCUUGCUAGCAACCGGGGGGUAAGACUCCCUCGACCCACUGGCCGAGGCGGUGCUCCCACCUCGGAGCAGCAAAGGAUGGGAGGCCGACCCCUCCUCUUCUUCGAAGUGAUGCCGGAGAAGGAAAGGAGGGCCUGGAGAUGGGGCCGAGACUCAGUUUCCUCCGGAAAGCCCUCAUCUAUUUCGACCACGGCGAAGAACCGCCAUUCGAGGAUGAAGCUUCAAGGUCUUGGUAAGUAUUUUAUUUUUGUUCAUUUAUUUUCUUUCCUCCCUUUCUCCUUUUCUUUUCUUUCAUGGUGGCGCCACCACCUCUUCACCGAAGAAGGGGUGGGGGCUUGGCUAGUCUGGCGGCCCUGUGGCCCCAUAUGGUGCCGGCUCGGCGGCCUCGUGGUCGCAUCCGGUGCCCCGGGCACCCGCAGCGGAGGCUGCGGAGCCCUAGGCACCCGCAGGCCGAGUUCGGUUGGGCUCGGCCUGGAUGAGCACUGGGCCUGGGCCUAGCUUAGUUGCUGGGCCUGGGUCGGACCUAGGUCAUACUCAGGCCGGCCCGUGGCCUGCCCUUGUGCGUGGGUCUGGCCCGGGUGGAACCCGUCGGCCAUUUACUCUUCUUCCAUCUUCUCAGUGCUAGAGUCUUCUUUCCUCUAUUUCAAAGUUGAAACAGAAGGGAGUAACAUUCCACAGAAGAACUUCCUCCUUUUUUAUUUUGUUUAAACCUAUUUACUUAAGUAAAUCAGGUCAUACCUUGCUUCGGGUUGGCUGCAGCCGAGCAGUACACCCUUCAAGAAAUUCCUCCUUCCUCUCCUAGGGCUUCAGAGGUUCAGCUCCUUCAACCUCCAGCUCCAGGGUUCGGCUUCUCUGGUACAAUACUCCAGAGGGCUAAGGAAUAAUAGCGUAUUGUAAAUUCUAAGUUAAGAAACUGAGAGUUUAAAUAAACUCUGCUUAGAAUGUGACCCUUGGAGAGGUGGCACCCUCUUCUUCCUCCUUGCUCCGGAAGCCUACAGUUGCCCUUUCCCUCAUGCCAGCUGGGCUUGUCCUUUCAACUUGGGUGAGAGGUGACGGACUCCCAUUUUGCAUGAAUGAGGGCCCAAAAGCUGGCCUCCCUCCUACUGGCCAACUGGGGCCCCGUCACAUCAGCCUUCAGGCGUGAGGUGGCAACCCUCCAUGGGCGGCCAUCCAUGGGCCCAAUACGGCCCAUUAAUGACUGGUCCAAAUACCCUUAAAUUGGGCCUCAAAAGUAUUGGGCCCGGUUAGUCUCGGGCUCGGACAGUACAAUGUGGGUCUAUGAUAACGUAACGUGCUUUGAUGGUAGGAUUGGCUUGAGACAUGCGACAAUAGUCUAGGGGAGAUAAGAGGUCUUGAUGGUUGUUUUCAAGUACCUUGUACAUUGUCUAAAAAUAGUUUUGCUUUUGUGGCCGCUUAUUUAUGAUGUCUAGAAUAUAGGGACUAGCUACAUUUUUUCCUUUAUGUUUUAGAGAUUAUACACUUGUCCCUUCUAACAAUUAUCCUAUUUGUUUUCCAAUAAUAUAGGAAUUGGUAGAUCCUAAUUCUAGUUAACUCUCCCUUCUACUUCAAGGCCCUAGCUUUUGUGGGAUGAGUUUCCAAAACUCAAAUUUUCUUUUGGAUUAUAUUUUAUAGUCCCACUCAAGGUACGCGGUACCGACUGUACCGACGUACCGGUGGGCAUCGAUACCGGUACGGUACCGAACCAAACCGAGCCGAACCGGUACUGUACCGAUGGGGCUAAAAGCCAAAAAAAAUUUGGAGCCGGUACGGACUGGUCGGUUUGGGUCGGUACUGGAUCGGUCGGUACGGUUCGGUACCGAAAUAUGUAGCUGUAUCGUACCGAUAGGGUCCGGUACCGGUAUGUACCGGCCGGUACCGACCAUACCGACUGGUACGGCAGACCAUGGUCCCACUCCUUAAGGUUUUGUUGAUCUUUAAGUUUUUGAAUUUAUCCCAAAAAACUUUAUAACCGGUGCAUAUGUAGAUCAAAUACCCUAGGUGUGGUAGGUAAGAGUAUGACCAUAAAGCCAUCACACUCUACAUUUAUACAUCUUUGUUAGUGUACAUUGAUGUAGUAAAUACACUGUAAUUUAUUCUCCUGUGUCGUGAUCAUGGUAUGCUGAACCGGCCCGUACUGGCUAUAGAAGGCCAAGCAUGGUGAGCUGAUUGAAGAAGCCAAACUAUCAUUGUAUACCAUGAUGGCGAAAAUUUAUCUAAUUUUAAAAAAAAGAUCAUCUCAAUAGUGUCCGGCAGUUUGGCUUGCAACUCGGCUUUUCGAUGUUGUCGAUCUUCUCCUGGGCAUUAUCCAGUUCUACUCGUAGUGGCUAAGGGAGUUCUCAUUGAGUCUGGUGAUCUUCCUAGUUAUUUAUAGUAGUCAAAGUGAUUUACAUCAAGUCUGGUGAUUCUCUUAGAUACUUGUAGUGGUCAAAAUAGUCCACAUUGAGUCCGGUGAUCCUUCUGGAUACGCGUAGUGGUAAAAAUAAUCUACAACGAGUCUGGUGAUUCACUUGAAUUCGGUGGUACGUUAGGGAACCCCAAGCCUAAGCUCAAAAUUAGGAUAGCUUUUAGAUUAUCCCACCAAAACAUUGAAAAGUGUAUGUAUUACCCAUUAGGGGUGGCUACAUAGCCCCUAGACUCAAAAAAAAAAAAUGAAUAGAUGUCCAUAAUAUCAAUAUAUUAGAAUUAGUUGUCAUGUAUUUCAUUAAUUAACAGAUUUUUUGUGAUUUUAUACUAUUUUUAGUGGAAAAUUUUAUUUAAAAUAGAAAAAUGUUUAAAUGCGAAAAAUAUUUAAUAUGAUAAGUUUUAAAAUAGCUACUUAUAGUUUGUUGAUUAACAUAGUUUAUGUUGUCUUUAAAGGUGAAUUACUCAAAAUAGUUGAUAGUUUGAUUAAACAUUGAAAACAUGGAGCAUGCAUCAAGAACCAAUGAGAUAAAUUUUAAACUAGUUUCCUUGCAUUUUGUAUGUUAACAAGAUUUAUAUGACUCCAAAUUAAUUUAAAAAAAGAAAACUAAUUAAAAAUCAUAAAAAAUGUAAUUAAAUACAGAAAAUAUCCAACAUGCAUCUUUUAAUCAAUGUUGAAAGGUAAAAAGAUAAAAGUGAAACAUGUUAGAAUUUAGAAGAAUUAAAAUUUUCAAAAUAAAAAAAGAGCCCAAAUUUUAAGUGAACCUGGCAAAUUCUUUGCUGACUUCACUUAAAAUUUUUAAAAUAAAUUAAACAAGUGUUUGGAGGGCGAAGCCCUUGCUCCGGCCCGCUGGCUCCCUUCGGUGCCCCUCCAACGCUGUCCAGAGGCCCUCCCUCUCCCCCCUCUCUUUGUUCCUCUCUUUUGUUCUCCCUCUCUCACCCUCUUUGCUGUGUCGGUACGGCUCGGCAUAGAAUGGCAUGGAGGCGUAUAGAACCGUGCUCUAAUACUGGCAUGACGAACCUUUGUAUAAAUUAUUACAUGAUUAUAUUAUUGUUAUAUAUAUUUAAUAUGUGCGGUGAGUGUAUGCUUUCAUGCUAUUUUCUAGUUGCAAGGAUUUUUGUAGUUGAAACUAUUACCAAAUUUUGCUGCAGUUCAAAUAGAAGUUUUGGGCCUCCUUUUGCAGUUGAACUGUAGCCUACAGGCAUCGAACACUUGUUUUGUGUGCUUGCAAUUCAAUUACGCCAAACUAAAAUUGUAGCAUAACAAUUGUCGGCAAUCAAACAGCUGGAUAGGAGAAUGCUACUUGGCCGGCACUAGCACCCCCCUUUUUAGAUGGGGAUACUCCUAGACUUUUUAUGUUCUUUUGGAAUUUUGAAAGUGAGUCAUUGUUGAUUAUUUUAUUACAAUAUUAUGAAUUAUUUCCCUAGUUUCAUUUAUAGUUGGUUCUUAAACCUUAUUGGGACCACAAGUACUGUUAAAAUAUCGAUUUUCCUGCAUAACACACCCCAUUGAAAAUCACUAGAACAUGGAAAAAGUUCAGUUCAUAUUCGGAUUACACAUCAAAAAAAAAACAACAAAAGUUGGGAAAACAAAACAAAACAAUCAAAUUUGCAUCCUGGUACUGUACCGAUACACAACCUUAUUCCCUGAGUUGGUAACAUAUGGGUUGGUACCAUACCGGUUUGGCAGAAACUGGUACCAUCUUCGGUGCCAUUAUCCAAACUCUCUUUUGGAAGCAUCAAAUCUACCAUUAUCCAAACUCCCUUUUGGAAGCAUCAAAUCUUAAUACGUAAUGGACUGCUCCAUGUCAAGGCCUAAUCCAUUUCUAUUUCUAUAACUAGGAAUCCUAUUUAACUACUAGGAGUGACAAAUUCUGGUUUUAGUUUUUUCCUACUGGUUAAGCAUUAGUCUCCUGUAGGGGGAGGCUGAACCUUUUAUGUACAACCUGAUUUACCAUACCUUUUGGACAACAGAUAGUUCUACUAAUUGCAUGUUGAAGUCUCUCGUGGUAUGAGUCCGGGCCAAAAAGAUUUCAUCCCCAAAAUACAAGAUCAGAGUUUCGGGGUGUCUGUCAAAGUAUUAUCUAUAUUUAUGGGUUGGAAGUUUCUUGGUUUCACACAAGCAACAAAAUAUGUCGUAGAUAAUUUGUCUAAUCUGUAACUACCAUUGCUACUGGUGACACUCAUGACGGAGAAAACAUGCCUCAUAAAGGUAAUGCUUGCUGAUUUGCUGAAAAGUGAAUGGUUAAAUUCAAAUUAUGAUAAAUUAGUAACGUAAACCAAUUAUAAUAAAGUUUCCUCUCCUUGGACUGAGGCUCGUUGUUAUUGUCCUAAAAACCAUAUUGCCUUCUUGUGAAGGGGCCUUGUUCAAUGGUGAAGUACCCCUGAUGCAUUCCAAGAAAUCCCUUACAUGCAUGGUCUUGGUGGAGUAUGAAAAUGAUCAAAAUACUCCUUUUGCCUAGUAAAAGGAACAAUUGCUCUUGAACUUAGAAUUAGGCCAAUUUUCUAUUCGGGAAAGCAGACUCAUUCGUUGUCUUAACACGGUUUAGGCCAGUUAUCUGAAGCCAAGUUUUGGAGUAUGAAACUGUGACCCGUCUUUGAUUGAAAGCCUGGCUCCUUCACAGUCCGCAGCAGAUAGAAGAAGGGCAGGUCAUAGAUUCAUACCAUAUGGCUUACAUACAUAUGUACAAACAUUUCUAUGGACUUAAGCUGGCCAAGCCUUAUUUAACUUCUUGACUUUCGGGGCUCUUUAAGCUAGGGACAUGGCAUAAUACUAGUCAGAUCAAUAGGUAGAAUCAACCAAUGACCAAAAUAUGACUUAUCAUGUCUGUGCCAGUCACUGAUUUGAACGAGACAUAUUGCAUAGUGCUAACACAUGGCAUGCAAUUGGCAUGAAAGGUAAACAACUCUUUUUAACCCCAGUGGUUUGGGUGCGGGUGUUUGGAUUCAGGAGUUCCUAGAAAUAUGAACAGGGAUGAUAAGGGAUUCUGCUUCAGUCAAUUACUUUUAAAGACUUUAAACUUGUAAUUAUAUAUUCACAAUCAAUGAAGUUUAAGAGUCAAAAUUUUGUCUAGAUGUUUGUGGUAAUAGCUAUUUAGUAUGUGCAUUACGUCGUUUCAUGUGCACUAGAAUGUAAACUAACACCAUAUAACUAUUCUACACAUACGCAACUGAAGUAAGUGGGCAUUCACAUUAGACGAAUACAAGGGAACAAGUAACUAGUUUAUACUAACGAUAUAUUUUUAAGUAUUGACACAUGCUUUUAGUCUUAUAGAGUUCUAAUACUAUGGAUUGCUUAUGAUAUUUCUUUGAAAUGCAUAUAAAUCAUAGGUGACCCUGAUGUUAAAUUUAAGUUUGUAGUAUGAUGAACUUUUAUUUAUGUCUCUUGGGAUUUCAUUUCUUCAUACAAAAUAAAUGGGGUUAAUAUGGAAGAGUUCAUUGGCACGUAGAAUAGAAAGUUAACGUAACAUGUUCAGAUGGUUAGGAGAUGGCAACAUCUUUAGCCUUUUGGUCUUUGUCAGCUAGUGGAGUUCGUUGCAUUUGCCAUUGCUAUUUGCAAACUGCAGCCUCGUGUCUGUACUUGUAGGCAAAGUUUGCAUGAAGUACAAUUAGUUCUAUAAGGUGAGUUUUGUGAUGGUAAGGUUAUUUUGUGCUGUUGACUUUGUUUCUCAAGAUUCUGUCAGGAAAGAUGUGCUGGACCCUUGGCACAUUAGAUACUCUCGUUCGUUAAACAGAUGAUGUCUGAGGCCACUCAUGGCUGCACAAAAACAGAAAGGCUUUUUCCUUAUAACAUUAGAGUUAGAGACCUGUAUAUAUUUGUUUCCUAGCCCCUUAAAUUAUUUUUAUCCUAAUUCAAGGAAUAUUGGAAAACUAGUACAAUUAUAUAGAACCAUAAAAUAGAUGGUUAAGAUCAUUCUAAGAUCAUUCUUUGAUGACAUGUACUGUAAUUUCAUCAAGUGUGUUCUUACGGUGACCUUUUAAUGUGGGUAUAUUUAUACAAGCUGACUUCUAUUCAUUGUUAUGGUGGUAAACACAUGCAUACAAUUUUGUCCUGCGAGAAGUUCCAGUGGAAUAUCUAUUGAUAGAUCUAAUAGUUGAGGAGUUUUUAUCAGUUCUUUUGAGUCUUUUUUUCAAAUUAUUCUAGUCUGUAAGUUUAAAAUUUUCAGUUCUGCUGGUAUGUUAUUUUACCGUACCAUUCUAAUUUCAUGGGUCAAGUGUACAUUUUGCACUAGGAUAUUGUCAUUCUGAUUCUUAUUUUUUUAAAAUUACUUUGGUCCUAGGUAUGCUGCUGGUGAGGAAGCUACUAAAAGGUUGAAGUUCAUUGAAGCACAUGGGGUCAGUGAAAACUUAAGUAGGUUUUCAGAAAUUCCUAAUAGCUUCAUGGAGAUCUCAGAGAGCCAUUUUCCUCUUGUCAUUUCACUUCACAAUUUUUUGAUCAUUCUUGAUGGAAGCAUGAAGAACUCAUUCUUUGAUAAAUUUUCUGAUGUAAAGGCGAUUACUGGUGGGAAAAGAACUGUGAUGUCUCACGUCCUGUGUCAACUUAUCACGGUUAAAGAAAUUGACUAUGAUCAUUUUGUUUCUUCUUAUUGGCCUCGUUUUGACAAAAAUCUUACCAGGAAAUUGGAACCAUCGUUGGUGUUCUCUGAGAUCAUCUACUGUAUAAAAGGAGGAAUGGGUACCGGAAGGACUUCAAUUUACAAAAACAUGGAUGAGGACGAGUAUACUGCGCUAUCUGAGAAUCGGCGCUCUUCAGUAAGCAAAGAUAAGAGAAAAAUGAUAUAUAAAAUAUUUAUGAGUUAUGAGAAGGAAAAAGAGAAAUGUGAGGAAUAUGACAUUUCUGAUUUAGUGAAUGAUCUUCAUUUUCGAUUAUUUGUUUAUAGAUAUGAGGGCCGCAAGAUGGAUUAUUUAUACGUAGAUGAAGUUCAAGAUUUUACAAUGAAGCAGAUUUGCUUGUUCAAACACCUUUGUGUGAAUUUCCAGAGUGGAUUUAUGCUUUCUGGAGACACUGCACAGGCUCUGGUUAAUGAUUUUAGAUUUGAAGAUAUUAAAUGCUUAUUCUAUAAAGAGUUUCUCCUUGGGUUGGGAUCUGUUCCUGAACUUUUUCUGUUGAGCACUAAUUUCCGGACCCAUGCCGGUAUUUUGAAAUUAGCAGAAAGCAUAUUAGAUCUGUUGCACCAUUUCUUUCCUUUAUUAGUUGAUCGUCUUGUUUCAGAAAAAAGUAUGACACACGGAGAGGCUCCUGUAUUACUAGAAUCUGAAAAUGAGACUGAUGUGCUAGAUACUAUCUUUGGCACUAAUGAAACAAUCGACCAUAUCCCAUUUCAAUUUGGAGCUGAACAAGUAAUUUUGGUACGUGAUAAACAUACUAAAGAGAAGCUUGUUUGUCGUAUCGGUAACAAAGCUCUGGUCUUGACCAUUAAGGACUGCAAAGGGCUGGAAUUUCAGGUAUAGUAUUAGAGACUGAGUUUUUAAAUUUUGCAUGUACUUCUGCUACUUAGCUUUUCUAGAACCUAGUUUCCCUAUUUUUUAUAUAAUUUUGUUUGCAGGAUGUUCUUCUAUUUAAUUUCUUUGAGGAGUCACCUUUGAAGUGCCAAUGGAGGGUAGUUUAUGAGUUCAUGGACGAUCAAAAAUUAGCAAACCCUUGCUUGCCCAAGUAUCCAUGUUUUGACCAAGAUAAACAUCAUAUUCUGUUCACGGAACUGAAACAGUUGUAUGUUGCUGUUACACGUACUAAAAGAAGAUUGUGGAUCUAUGAAAGUAGACAAGACUUUGGGGGGCCAAUUUUCAACUACUGGAAGAUGUUGGGUCUUGUGCAGGUGGAGAGAUUGGAUUCAUCAUUUGUCAGGAAAAUGGAAGUGUAUUGUAAAAUAGAAGAGUGGGAUGCCCGUGGCGAGAAGGUUUACACCUUACUUGUGUCAUUUGUAUUCAAUUUAAUUCAUCUUUACGCACCUGAACUCUGAGGUGCAAUUGUUGAAUAUUCUUUCUAUUAUGUUUUUUCAGUUCUUUAAUGAUGGCAAUUAUGAGAUGGCGAUACUGUGUUUCAAACGAUCUGGAGAUGUAUAUAUGGAGAACUGGUCAAAGGCAGCAUUACUUCAAGCUGAUGGUCGUUCUAAGCUUCAUGUGAAUUUCCAGCUGGCAUUAGAUUCACUAUCAAAGGCUGCUGACAUUUAUGAGAGCAUUGGAAAGAUGGAAUUAUCUGCAUCUUCCAUCAUGGAGUCACGCGAAUAUACAAAAGCAGGUUAGGUUUGGCUAUUGACUUUUUUUUUCUUUUUUUUUUUGGGGGGGGGGGUCUACAACUGCAACUGACUGAUUUUAUGUUAAGUCCUUCUAGUAUUCUUCUAAAAUUAGGUUGCAUAAUUUGUUCGUUAUCUUUCUUGUUUUUUUUUGCAAUUCUGUUCACAUGUUAAGUCUAUUGUACAUAUUUGCCAUUUUGUAUUGAGUAUAAUGAUGCUUUGCAGUUAUUUUUCACGCUAGUAUCCAGCAGAUGCAAUGCAUGUGCAGAGCAUUACAAGGACACAUGACAUACUUUACAAGUAUCGUGGCUAAGUUGUGUUUUCUUCUUUUUCUUCAUUUUUUUCUGUUUUGGAGCCUGCAAGGGCCUUAUCCCUCCCUAAAUUUGGAAAUACAACUAUAUGUUAGCUAUAUCCUAUUUUAGAAAAUAACAGUUCUUACUUAUUCAGGCCCCACAGUAUUUUGCUACUUGAAAAGACCAACUUCCUCCUUGUACCAUCCUUGAAAGGACGGGUUGUAUCUUUCGUGCGAAAGAUGGAUUCACCUUCCUUUGCAAGAAUCCACCAUUGGAUCAUGCAAUGGCUACUUUGAGAUCUGUGUACGUGGACGAAUGGAGUUCAUAGUGCUUUGAGAUGUGUGUGGGAUGCGAUCCAACAGCCAAUCAUUCUUUUGCGCGAAAGAUACAACCUGAACCCUUUUUGUAAUGCACACUCAGAAUAUUCUAUUCCAGAAGACUUGCCUUGCCAAUGUAAGAAACUGCCUAAGAGAAGGAAUUAUUAUUGAGAAGCGGAAAUAGCUACCAUUUUAUUAAAGUAUAAUUUACACAUGAUUUAUUAUUUGAUAGAUAGAUCUUACUAGGAGGCGAAUAGUCUAAAUGUGCUUUCAUUUUUUUACCAUGCUAACAUAGAUAAUUAGCACCUGGAAUCAUGAACAUCUUAUUUUUGUUUUUUUGAUGCAUGAUAGUUGAAGAGAAUUGGCAAGUCAUGCUUCAAGAAUUAUGAAUAUUAUUUUUGACCAUUACUAUAACUAAAAAAGUCAUCAAAAUAAUUCCUAUUAAACUUUAAAUUCUUAAUUGAUAUGAAUUUAUGCUUUUUUGAACUACGAUUAUCCAUCUCUCUCUGUAACCCUUCCAAAUGCUGAAUUCCACUUCACCAUGCACUCCUAGCCAGAAAAGUCGAGUAACUAAGGAAGAGCUCCAAAGUUUAAUCUUGCUGGAAAAGUUUUGUCCAUGUCACGGUCUGAAGUACCAUGUUAAGUGUCGUUAAUGUCUCCAUAUAGUACAUACCACAAUACAACCCCAUAUCUCCACAUGGUUUGUUUAAGGUUUGAAAAACUGUGGUAUGGUACUUUACAAUAAUGUUGUAAGUCCCGACGAGAUGGAGGGCGUCAUAGUCAUCCUGUCUCAUUUCUAUGAGAAAAUGGGACUGGGAUGGGGUUAGGACUCUGAAACUCAUUUAUGCGCGGAAAGAAGAGGACAAAAGGAAAGAAAGAAAUGAAGGAAAGAUGAAGAAAAGGAAAGGUGAAAGGAGAGAUAUUCAAGAGGAGAGAGAAAAGAAGGGAGAAGAAGAAGAAUGAAAGGAAGGAAGGAAGAAAAGAGAAAGAUGAAGGGAUAAGAAAAAGAAAGAAGAAGAAAAAGGAAAGAAAGGAUGGUAAGGAAAAAUGGAGGAAAGAAGAAAAAGAAAGAAAGAAGAAAAGAAAGAAAAAGAAAGGAAAGGAAAGAAAGGAAAGGAAAGAAAGGAAAGAAAAGAAAAAGGGAAGAGAGACGGAAAGUACCUACAAGACGCUCGACUGGGAUUGGUGUGGAGAUGAGGUAGGAUAGUGGAGCAUCCCAUUCCAUGGAGAAACUAGGAUAUCCCCAGAUUUAAAACCUUGCUAUACAAUAUAACCUUGAUUAGUUUCUUAUUUUUGUGAAUAUCGUAUUAUGGUAUGGUUGGUCUUUCAUGCCUUUUUCCAUAUAUAUCUAAAGUUAUCAAUUUGUUCACAGGAUGUCUUUUAUUGGUGUCAUUUGUAAAUGAUUAUGUACAUGAUAUUCAAUAUACUGGUUCAAGGAUUUGACUAGGUACCAGUCCAUACUGGCUAUACUAAAUUGUACCAUUAAGGGUCUUAGGGUUGGAUGUGCUAGGACAGUAUCGAUAGAUGGUGUUUCACCUCCAAGUUGUUUGUCCUAUGACAAAGGGCAUAUAUUGUUUUUGUAUGGUACCAUACCUUAACCAUAUCUGCCUUACAAGUAAGGUACUAAUAUGGAUAUUGAUUUCCAGUACAUAAACCUUGAAGUGGUUUGCCUGCAUAGUGCAUGUAAUUGAUCAGCAGAAAAUUAAAAAGGAAAACAAAAAUGUUUAUGGCUAGAUAUUGAAUUUCAAUCUUACCACCAUGUUUUCUUUUUUAAAUCUGCAUGUUUUUUCAAUGACAAGUGCUUCAAAAGGUGGACUUAUCAAUGAAAGGUGAUACUUUUAUUAAAUAAGUGUUUUAGAGUUGCUCUUGAGUGUACAAUUGGACAAACCUCCUAUUUCUACCUCGACCCGAGUUCACGAACCGGGGGUUGACAACUGCCGCGUACUCGUAGGGAACCCUCCCCACAAGCAUGCAGGGCAUCUCAAUAUGAUCUCAUAAAUAUGCAGCGGAACAAUUUAAAUAAUAAUGUGCAAACUUUAUUUCAAUAACUAGCUCAACAUUUAAAUGUCUCACAAUCAUAACAAUAUUCUAGGGUAGUACAUCAAUUUAAAUAGACUUUGUUCUAAGAUAAUCUGUGCUAAAGUUCUGCUAGUCACUCUCUCAUAUUGAAAACUUCGAUCAGACUAGUUCUCUGAAUCUGUGAAAAAAUAAGAAAUCGUAUAAUGAGCUAGACAGCUCAGUAAGCAAUGAUCACUUUAACUAAACAAAAUCAGGCAAUCAAAUAGAUUAUAAUUUGCAAAAAAUAAGCAUAUAUACAGUACUAAUAUACGAAUCAAAUCUUUCUAAAAGUAUUAAAUUUUGUUCAUAGAUUCAAAUUUUUUCAAAUAUUCAAUUUAUCUUAUCGAUCCUGAGCUAUGACCGCAUCAUCCUGUGGCAGGAUCAUAACACCGACUAUUUUUUUUGAAGUUAGCUGUGCAUUAUCUUGCAGCAAAGUCCUUUAGGACCGCUGGUCUGCUGACGAUAUGUCACUAAUCAUCUUGAACACAACCUUCAAAACAAUUCAUGUGCCAAUGUAUUAGCCUCUAUUGGCGGGAUCCUUAAUAUAAACAUGUCAAAAUUCAAAUAGUUUUAUGUUUCAUAUUUCAGUUCUAAAAUCAUGAGGUGUCAAAAUCAAUCAAUCAUAUCCAUAAUAAGAUCAUAUAUCGUCAUAAUAUUUCAUAAUAGUAUAUUACAUAAUCAUAUGCGAUCCAUCAAAUUCAUGCAUCAUGAAUAACACCACUUAGAGUCAUGAAUAUAACAAUUUAAUGAUUGCUAAUAGAUUUACAAAAAAAAUAAAACAAUACCAUGCGAAUGCAAGCUAACUAACAGAUCCAAUUAAUUCCAAAAAAUUUUCUCAAAUUUUGUUAUUUAAAAAUUAUAUUUUCAAUCAGAAGUUAUCAUGAUUAUUCCAAGAAUGGGACCUUAAUUCCAAUACCAUCACCGGAUUGACCAAUUGGGAGUGCCCGACAUCUCGGUCGGUCCGAUCAAAGUGAAAUUCAUCGAAUCAUGCUCGGACUAGGGCACAGAUGGUUCAACAAAGAUCAGGGCGAUCAAAUCUAUUAGUGUUUGGCAGAGGCCAGGGUGGGGGCUGAUAUGCUGUCCGACAAUCCUAGAUUAGGACUCUUCACCAUGGUCAAUUCAAAAUCACUAUGAAGAUUCUUCACUGGAUCCAACUAUUCUAGAGUAGAGAGAAAGUCUAGGUAGAGAAAAACAAGAGAGCAUGGGGAAGAGAGAAAAGAGAACUAUCUUCUCUCUCUCUAACCAAGGAGAGGAAGGAAGACGGUGGCUGCAGGUGGUGCCCGGGGUCAGGGACCCACGGUUGGCCAGCAAGCAGCCAGUGGCGACUAGCGGUCGACAGCACUAAAUCCACUCAAAAUAGGGGUUUCGACCCUCUUUAACCAUACAAAUCAAGCAUCCUAAUGGCCGGAGCUUCGGCCAUGGUCUCCUGCCACUGGGGGGGAUUGGAGGAAGACUUAGGAGGCAAGAAUCGAUGGUGGAACCAGCCGGAAUCAGAAGAAAAAAACUUGCUUUCUGAAAGCAAGAAAAACAUGGGCUUUGCCUCGUCUCGGCCAAAUUUCGGCGAUCAUCAGUCGGAAUCGGGCUUCCAAGGGUCACGGAGGAUGAAGAGAAGAGUUAUCCAAAGAUUUUUGGAUUAUUUCCUCGCUUCUUGGCGGCGAAUGGCAGCGGCGGCGGCNNNNNNNNNNNNNNNNNNNNNNNNNNNNNNNNNNNNNNNNNNNNNNNNNNNNNNNNNNNNNNNNNNNNNNNNNNNNNNNNNNNNNNNNNNNNNNNNNNNNNNNNNNNNNNNNNNNNNNNNNNNNNNNNNNNNNNNNNNNNNNNNNNNNNNNNNNNAAAUAAGAAAUUUGGAUGAAAAAAAUACGAAAGAGGUAAAGUAAAGAAAAAAUCUCGGAUUUAUUCAAUCAAUAGAGGUACAAUAAGCAAGAUUAACCCCUUGUUUGUUGGUGGAUUCCCGCAACAAACAAAACAAGAAAAAAAGUCAAUUAAGUAUGAAUACAGCAAGAAAAAGGCAAAUUGUGUGUAAAUUAUUACACAAAGAUAGAUACUAGUUACCCCCCCCCCUUUUUUUUUUUAUCAAUUUUUUGUUUUUUACUUUAAUUAACUCGAAUCGAAGUUCUUUCUUGAAAUAAUUCUGCCUUCCUUAAAAUAUCACAAACAGUUCCCGUAGGUUGAGCACCUUUUCAAGGAAAUAUAGAAUAAAAGGAACAUUUAAAUAAGUUUGAUUCUUUAUCGGAUCGUAAAAACCUACUUUUCUAAGAUCUCUUCCUUCUCCUCGGGAUCAAACAUCAAUUGCAACGAUUCGGUAGAUGGCUCAUUGGAAUCGGAUCAAAUUUUUUCAAAUAUUCAAUUUAUCUUAUCGAUCCUGAGCUAUGACCGCAUUAUCCUGUGGCAGGAUCAUAACACCGACUAUUUUUAUUGUAGUGAGUUGUGCAUUAUCUUGCAGCAAAGUCCUUUAGGACCGCUGGUCUGCUGACGGUAUGUCACUAAUCAUCUUGAACACAACCUUCAGAACAAUUCAUGCGCCAAUGUAUUAGCCUCUAUUGGCGGGAUCCUUAACAUAAACAUGUCAAAAUUCAAAUAGUUUUAUGUUUCAUAUUUCAGUUCUAAAAUCAUGAGGUGUCAAAAUCAAUCAAUCAUAUCCAUAAUAAGAUCAUAUAUCGUCAUAAUAUUUCAUAAUAGUAUAUUACAUAAUAAUAUGCGAUCCAUCAAAUUCGUGCAUCAUGAAUAACACCACUUAGAGUCAUGAAUAUAACAAUUUAAUGAUUGCUAAUAGAUUUACAAAAAAAAUAAAACAAUACCAUGCGAAUGCAAGCUAACAGAUCCAAUUAAUUCCAAAAAAUUUUCUCAAAUUUUGGUAUUUAAAAAUUAUAUUUUCAAUCAGAAGUUAUCAUGAUUAUUCCAAGAAUGGGACCUUAAUUCCAAUACCAUCACCGGAUUGACCAAUUGGGAGUGCCCGACAUCUCGGUCGGUCCGAUCAAAGUGAAAUUCAUCGAAUCAUGCUCGGACUAGGGCACAGAUGGUUCAACAAAGAUCAGGGCGAUCAAAUCUAUUAGUGUUUGGCAGAGGCCAGGGUGGGGGCUGAUAUGCUAUCCGACGAUCCUGGAUUAGGACUCUUCACCAGGGUCAAUUCAAAAUCACUAUGAAGAUUCUUCACUGGAUCCAACUAUUCUAGAGUAGAGAGAAAGUCUAGGUAGAGAAAAACAAGAGAGCAUGGGAAGAGAGAGAAGAGAACUAUCUUCUCUCUCUCUAACCAAGGAGAGGAAGGAAGAUGGUGGCUGCAGGUGGUGCCCGGGGUCAGGGACCCACGGUUGGCCAGCAAGCGGCCAGUGGCGACUGGCGGUCGACAGCACUAAAUCCACUCAAAAUAGGGGUUUCGACCCUCUUUAACCAUACAAAUCAAGCAUCCUAAUGGCCGGAGCUUCGGCCAUGGUCUCCUGCCACUGUGGGGGAUUGGAGGAAGACUUAGGAGGCAAGAAUUGAUGGUGGAACCAGCCGGAAUCAGAAGAAAAAAACUUGCUUUCCGAAAGCAAGAAAAACAUGGGCUUUGCCUCGUCUCGGCCAAAUUUCGGCGAUCAUCAGUCGGAAUCGGGCUUCCAAGGGUCACGGAGGAUGAAAAGAAGAGUUAUCCAAAGAUUUUUGGAUUAUUUCCUCGCUUCUUGGCGGCGAAUGGCAGCGGCGGCGGCACGAUGGCGAUCGGUGAUCGAGGGAAAAAAUCAAAGAAAUCUGGUGACUACUCUCUGAUUGGAGCUAGGGGAAAGCUUAUAUAGAGCGGAGACUAGGGUUUCCUAGUCUCCGGCAGAGUUCAAGGAGGAGGAGAACUCGUCCUCCUUCGUUGUGCUCAACUAGGGCUCUGCCCUAGUUCUGGUUCGGACGGGCCUUCGGUUUGCAUUCGGAUGCUGGGUCGGGCCAACAUGCCGACCUAAUGAGGCUGGGUCUCACAUUCGCCCCUCGUUUAAAAAUUUCAUCCUCGAAAUUUUCUUUUCUUGUGCUUUCAAAAUGUUAGAGAUACAUAAUUCUAAUCUCGUCCUUAAGUUUUCAAUAAUUCUACUUACCAAUACAAUUUCAUCAUUAGAUCUUAUCAGAAGAAUAAGGUUCAAUACCUCUAAACUUGAUUCUUUUUGUAGAUGAUGUAAAUCAAACUUCUCUCUUAUAAACGAAAAACGUCUUAAUUCUGAAUAAGAACAUCAUAUUUCUUUGUCAAAAUAUCAACUACUCUUGAUUAAUCGAUCUAUCUGAAUAUUAGAUCCUAAAAAACUCCUAGCCAACCCUAGAAGAAUAUUCAUCAAGGUCGAUAGAUAACCUCAAUUUCUUUCAAUCAAAUAGAGGGUUGAUAUUAAUUGGGGAAGUACAAUCUUCAGAUUUAGGAGGAAAGAUGUCUACACCAAAAUAUUCCAGAUCCAAGAUCAAAAAUCGAUGAUCCAUUAAUUCUAGUCUCAAGAUGCUAAGAAUAUUUUUAGCACGAUAUAAAAUUGGAGAACCUAAGAUAGUGCAGCGACUUCCAAAAAUCAGAAUAUUUUUCUUUCGUUUAUCAAGGAAAACUUACUACACAAGGAAACAGAUCAAGUGUUUUGUUAUUAAAACCUGCCGAAUCUAAGAGAGAAUAUCAUGGAAGUGUGUAAUGGAGUAGCGGGAAAGUAGUUGAAGAGAGAACAUCAUGGAAGUGGUUUAUGGCUGAAAACCUUAUACAUUUGCUAACUCUGCCCAUCAAUCAAAUGUCAGUAUGUGGAUAUAGUUCUUCUUGAGGGCAAUUUGAGAAUUAAAUUUUUAAUAUCAUUGUUAUCUGAAUGAUAAAAUCGAGAUUCUCCUACAUUUUAUUGAAGUGAAAUAUCUAAAUGAGUAAUGUCUAGUGGAUAGUAAUAGCCAAAGUUGGCUAAAUCAAAACUGUGACCCUACCAGUCAGUUUUCAUGUUGAUAUGGUAUGGUACCAUACAGUACCAGCACAUGGUACUUAUGCUAAUAUCAGUCAAGUGCCAGGUUCACCUAAUCUAGGAUUUUCCCCAUAGAUCUAGAGAGGGGGAGGAAGGGAGAAGCAUUCUAACUGUGGCUGUUGGAGGUAAUGGUGUUGGUUGAUGUGGUGGAUCCUGUGGCCAUCGAGGGUGUCAGAUUUGAGCAGAUUUGAGCCAUAGGAUGGUGUUGAGGGUCUAGGGGAAGAUCGUCAGCAAAGUGGGAGCCGAAGCCAGUGGAGUAGUGGAGGGCUUGGAGGUGAAUUGGCUGUUAGCGAGAUAUCUGGCAUGGCAGAAAGGGAGAAUGGGUCUAGGAUCAAACCAGUGGGGAUGGGACAAAGUCUUUUAAAAGCCGUGAUCAGUUUGACCCAGGUGAAUCAAGUCAGUAUCAUUCAAAACUGGAUGGAUCCAUGCAGUUUUGCUAGCUUCGGACUAGUUUUGAUAAGAUCUUAUCCCAUUCCAAACUGAAUCUAUGAACCAUCCUGGUUUGUUUCAGUAUGCCCUGGGCCGGGAUAGGCAGUUCACUGAACAUUGGUAACAGCAUCUUAAGGGCUUAAUCAUCAUCCUUAAAGUUAGCUAGACUGUAUCCAUAAUGAACAAGUAUUUUGUUCAUCUAUGUGUGGUUAGUGUAGUGAGCUCUUCGCCUUUGUACUUAAACUCCUUUGGAAGUGAGCAUUCUAGGGUUCCUAUUAUUGGCUUCGGUUAGUCUUCAUCUUCUUGCCAUUUAAUAAUCUGUUCUCCUUAUCAAGUAAGGCUCAGCCUGUCCUUCAUUUUAGCUAAAUAAGUGUAACCGAUAGUCCAUCACUACAUUCUUUAUCGGUUCAUGGUAUAAUUUGCUACAAACUAAGGGUAGCAAUUUCAACCCAUACCUGCUAACCUACCUAAUCCCACUCGAAGUAAAAGGUUUUCAGUGAGGUCCUUUAUUAUUAUUUAAUUGAAUUUGAGUUAGUUGAGAGUAACCCUAUCAUAAAUUGGUCGAACAUGAGCUUGACCAUCCAACUUGUUGGGUCACCAUGGUUUGAACAAUCCCUUGAAAUCCAUGUUUGGACUUCUAAGAUAGUGGUAAAUGUGCAGUAGUCCAUGGCCUAUUCAAAGCUUCAAAGCCUUUCACAUUAUAUAGUAAAUAUUCUUUUGUAUGUAUGACAACUAUAGUGAAGUGCUGAGCAAGGAUCGAUGUGCCGGUAUUGGAACUUGUGCCAGUAGCUCGGCGGCGUAGCUCGGUGCAGUACCAUGCCAUUCUGUGUCGAGCCCGUACUAACACAGUAGAGCCAGGGGAGGGCAGGGGAGGGAGAAUGGGAGAGGAGGAAAGAGAGAGAGGGGGGUGGGAGGAGAGGGCGAGGGAUAAAGGGAGGGAGAGAGAGGAAGAAAGCUGGCGGAGGGCCAGAGAGCUGCGCGAAGGGGCGGAGGAGGGGCUCCACCUCCGGUUCUCCUAUUGCUUUCGAAUUAGGGGUCCCAGAGGGGGCCCCUUUUUAUUUUCGAAGAUUUGAAGUGAAGUCGGCAAGGGACACCCUCCGGGAACCCUAUUUCGAAAGCAAUAGGGGAACCAGAGGCGAAGCCUCUCCUCCGCCCCUUCGCGCAGAUCUCCAGUCCUCCGCAGCGCUCCGUCGGCCAUUUGCCACCCUCCCCUCUCUUCCUUUUUUCGCCUCUGGAUCUCUUAUUGCUUUUGAAAUAGGGGUUCCGGAGAGGGCCCAUUUUUAUUUUCGAAGAUUUGAAGCGAAGUCGGCAAACCUUUGCCGACUUGGCUUCAAAUCUUCGAAAAUAAAAAUGAACCCUCUCUAGGACCCCUAUUUCGAAAGCAAUAGGGCAACUGGAGGUGAAGCCCCUUCUCCGCCCCUUCUUACGGCCCUCCGCAACCCUCCGUCGGCCAUCUGCCACCGUCUCUCUGGCCCUCCAUAGCCCUCCGUUGGCCCAUUUCGAAAGCAAUAGGGCAAUUGGUUCCCCCAUUGAUUUCGAAAUAGGGGUCAUGGAGGGGGCCCCUUUGUAAUUUCAAAAGCCAUAGGGGAACUGAAGGCGGAGCCCCUCCUUCGCCCUUUCACGCGGCUCUCUGGCCCUCCAUAGCCCUCUGUCGGCCAUCUGCCAAUCUCCCUCUCUCUUGCUUCCUCUCCCUCUCUCUCCCUCCCCUCCUCUCUCUCUCUUGUCCUCUCUUUCCUUCCCCUUCUCUCACCCCAUCGCUGGUUUUUUGUUUUGGUUGCUAGAACCAUCCUGAUCCGUCACUGUUACGGCUCGAUACACCCUGACCUAGGCGGUUCAGGAUAGUUCCGUCGUCCUUGGUACUGAGACUAGUAAUCAAGUACCCCAAAGUUUAACAAUAAUCUAACCGAAUUAUCAACAGUUUGUAGUAAUCAGAUUAAUAGAAUCUAUGGAUAUUUCAAUGAAUUGAGCCAUCGUGCCAUUUUGAUUAUCAUGUUUUAGUACUAUUACAGUAAUGUUGAGGUGGUAACAUCUAUUUUAAGUAGAGUAGCUAAGAUCUUACUUGAAAAUCUAUGACUAUGUUAAUUAGACUAUUUAAUAUGGCUUCAAUUACAAGAACCAAACACUUUAACAUGGAUUGACUAUAGGGCUAUUGUAAUACGUAUAAAAUUUGAAUGAACAGGACCCUAUCAGGUGAUACUUGAGAGCCAUAUUGAUGUUGAUGUGUAUAUGAAAUAAAUGAGAGAAAAGGGAAAAGUGAAACACAAUACACUGUUCUUAACAGCUAGAAGAACGAAUUUGAGAAUUAAAAAUAGGUUGAUCAGUUUGAUGCUAGGUAAACUUGGACAAGUCUAAAAGUAACUAUUUCAAUAAAACAUAUGAAUUUGAAAAAUAAGAGCAUUCAACGCAAAAGUGACAGAGAAAUUCAAAUGAUGUGCUGGAAAUAUGUGUACUUGUAAUUAUGUUUCGCAGGUUUCCAUUUUUUGAAAAGCUGCAUCCAAUAUCCAACGAAUUUCUAGUUCACAGGGACAUUAUGAGACUAGUUCUCAGGGACCUUAGAAAGCACUAUGAUGCAUGUUUAUGCAUAGCUAUGCUUUUAGAAUUUGAUUAUUUAUGAGAAUUCCAUUCUGUAGUUUUUUCAUGUCAUCUAAGAUAUGUGGUCUCUUUUUGCUAAAUAUGUUUUGUCUAGAUUUCCAUCACUUAAACAGGACAAAGAUGGUUGAAGAAACUAGCUGGUUUUCUUAACAGUUCGGUUUCUUCAUUGUGAAUCAACACUUAUUCUGAAAAUCAUAGUUCCUUUGUUAUUAUGGAUACACAUGGCUCUGAUGGCAUUCAUUGAAAUAUUUCUGAUUUGCAUAUGCUCGUGUUGAUUAAACGAGUAUUUGCAGAAAAAUUUAUAUAUGGCAGUUUCAUCAUUUUUUCCUUCUGGUUAAUUGAAUAUUUAUUCUUUCCAUUCAUGUCUUUGUUCCUUUUUCUUCCCUAUCUUUAGUUUUUGGUUUUCAAUAUGAGAAAAUUACCCAUGCUAGUUUCACUUAGAGACCAUGGGCAAUACAGAUAAAACACAGUAUAUAUGAGAAGUUCAAAGAGAAAGUAUCAACUUGUGUAGAAUCGAGUUCUAAGAUAUGAUUUGUUACAUGAUGGCGAGUCUAUGAGAAUGAAAAUAGUAUUUGAAUUUAUUUAUAAUUGCUUUACAUAUCUCUAUGUUUUAUCAUAUGUGUUUAUUUCCAGACCUUUUUCUUCAUGUAACUUGAGUCUUUCAUCUGUGUUACUUAUACAGGAAUGAUUUAUUUACACAAAUGUCAUGAACCGAGGUUUGAAGAUGCUGGUGACUGUUUUGCAUUGGCUGGUUCUUGGUCUGAAGCAGCCAAAGUCUAUGCUCAAGGACAACAUCUGUCAAAAUGCUUGUCAGCUUGUCGUCAAGCACUGCAGUUUGACUUGGGAUUUCAAUUUCUUCGUGAAUGGCCGGUUAUGGUGCCCGGAGAUGAUUGGAUUGAUUAUAUGAAGGGCACUAUCUCAGAUUAUCAUAAGUUACAGGACAUUGAUUCCCUGGAGAAGUUUGUCAGGGCUUUUCCAACAGAUGCAUUGGGUUUACUAUUGAAGUCUGAUUAUUAUGAGGAAGCUUCAGUUGUUGCAAAUUUGAAAGGAGACAUUAUGCUUGAAGCUGAUAUGCUGCGUAUAGCUAAACAUUAUGAAAAAUCUGCCGAUUUGGUGCUCUUUUAUGCUACAGGGAAGAUGCUUUGGACGGAAGGAAAUAAAGGUUGGCCUUUAAAGUGCUUCAAUGAACUACAGCAGGUUUUAGAAAAAGCCAGAUCUCUAUACAUGUCAGUGUCAAAUGAUUUCAAGGCCUAUAUUUCGGCUGAAGCUGAUUUUCUGUCAGACCAAAGUGCUAGCCUUACCUCCUUUGCUAGGCAUAUUAACAAUGCUAAGACUUCCCGGAAUAUAUGCGUAGAAACUUUUGCUGCUCGGAAAUAUCUAGACAUUUGUCUUCAGACGAGUGCCUCUGAGUAUUAUCAGGAAUCUGAUGUUGCCCUUUGGAGAUACAGAGGUUGCAGUGUGCAAGACAUGUUUAGUUAUGUUUCCAUUCAAAGUCUCAUGUUCUCUUGGAAUUCAUGGGUUAAAAGGGUAAAAGGUGUUCUGUCUUACUUCCACUCCAUUGGAACUCCAGAAGUGAGCAAAUAUACUAAAUAUGAAAAAUUCUGUCUGAAGUUCUUUGGUGUCCUCAAAUCAGAUAUUGAAGGAAUUUAUAUUUCUUCUAAUGCCCGAGCAUCAUGGAUUCGGUGGACAGAUGAAAAGCAUCUCCGUGUUUUAGACAAUGUUGCAUAUAUGAGUGACUUGGUGUUCAAUUGCCUCGCUGAGAAAUAUUGGGCAUCUGAAGUAAUUUCUGUUGGAGCAUCAUUGCUGAAAAAAUUGCAAGAGCUUCAUAGCCACCUUUUUCGACAUUCUAGUAUGGUCCAGCGAGGCCUUAUUGCACACUACUACUACAUGGUACUGAAUUGUCUCAAGGAACAUGGCUUUCCAGGAUUAGAAUGUGAAUCUAAAAGGUUCUACGAAAGUUUGACCAAUUUUGAUGCAUUUCUAUGCCGCACUUUUUUCCCUCUAGACUUCUCAAGGAUUUUGGAGCAGAUUGAAUCGUCUACACAAGGUACAAACACCUCGUUAAUUACUGCAGUUCUUCACAGAAACUUGGGUGUGUUGGAUCAGUUUGGAGCAGCAAAAAUUGGAAGAGUGGUGGUUUUUCUUCUGUCACGGAAACUUAGUUACACAUUGCACCGGACUAUUCGUGGCAUGAUCGGCCGAGAGUUUCCGUGGCAACAUUUUCUUCGAGAGCUAAGUUAUUCUAGAACUGAAGGGUGCCAGCGCACCACUCCUUUAGCAAAAACCUUCCUCCCUUCAUCCAUUUUGGAUCUUCAAAGUCAGCUGCUGCUUCUUGAGAGCAUUCUCUUUUAUGCAUCAUCAUGUCAAAUGGGAAGAGGAUGGUUUAUCACAUCAAGAUCUAGCUUGUCUGCAUUUCUUAAUGCCACAGAAUCUAGAGAUUACUUCCAUGCACUUUCAGUAUCUAGCAUUCAUUCUCUGGAGGAUGUGUACAGAAAUACCACUCCUUUCUAUGACUUCAUAUUGGACACCUCCGGUGAGCUUUUCUCUCUGAGUAAUCUUCGUUGGGCUGCAAUGAAAAGGUUGAGUACUCAAGCAUUGGUGCUGAAGAUGGUUAUAUUGGUGGGCCUUAUCUGUCUGAACUCAGCCAAGCACUUCUUGAAAGUAAGAAAGCUGUUGAAGAGGGUUGCUGGCAUUCUAUCAAUUUUGCCACACCAAUUUCUGAUUAAGUUUUGGAAUUCAAGGAAAGGCCGGGUAACGUCUUUGAAGCUCUUCGGUUCAGUGCUUUCGAGAUCAAUGCAAUCCAUGGGCGACCAAGUAGUGGUGGUUCGCAUGGAUGGCUACAGUGAAUCUUUUGAUCAUUUGAGGCCUUUACACCUGAAACAUAGCGACCUUAAGCGAGGUAAGGCGUAUGCUCAGGCAUUGCUAUUAGGAAUAAACGAGGUUUAACAACUACCAACAUUUUGUAAUUGUUCACAAACUCAUGUUUCAAGGUGAUCUGAAAUUGUUUAAAUUUUACUUCAGCUUUGCAGUUUAUUAUUGUCAUUAAAUAUUUAAACAAGUGCUUGAACUUAUCUCUGAAAUGUUUUUUUUAAGAGACGAAUGUAUGCCGAAAAAAUUAUCUUAUCCAAAAAAAUUUAAAAAUGUGAAAAGAAACAGGGUUUAACAGCUAUUUAAAUUCUAUAAAUGAUUUUAGACGCAUUCUUCAUGGUGAAGUGGAAACUGUUUAAAAUGUCACUUCAGUUUGCAGUUUGUUAUCAUUGCAAAAUUAAAACAGGUUCUUUUGCAUCUGUAGAAUGUUUCUUUUUUUCAAAAACCACGAAUUUUUGCUGACAUAAAUGAUUUAAAAAAAAAUGGGAAAACGUGGACGGCAGGAUUCGAACCUGCGCGGGCAGAGCCCACAUGAUUUCUAGUCAUGCCCGAUAACCACUCCGGCACGUCCACUUAGUUUAACUUAGCUUGUUCAAAUAUUUUCAUCUGGCAUAUUCUUUAUUCAUUGGAGCAAUUCAUACAACUCUAUCAUAAAAUUUCAAAACCAAGUCUCUAUGUGUGCCCCAAUUUGUUUAUGUUUAGUUUUUUUAUGUGCAGCUGAUCGCUAGGUUGGAUCUUUUUGCAUCUUCAUGUCGGCCAUUAGACCAAUGGUUGUGUAAACUAUGUAACAUAACAAUGAAAACGAUGAUGAUAAGGGAGGAAGAAGUCCCUGCCUUAUUGGAGACAUGGAAUAACAUAUAGAAAAUGGCUUGGAUAAGCAAACUCUCGAGCCCUUGUUUAAGCAUUUUUGCUUAGGUCUUGCCUGAAUAAGUAAAUAAGUGAUAACCAUUUUGAAAAUAUAGAGGAAUAAAGCCACUUGAAUAAUCAGAAGAAAGUUAUUUUUCUUGUUGUUUUAAACAUUCCAUAGAGUAAAGCAUUUUGUAGGGUUAUAUUCCACUAACUUAUGGAGAAAUUGAAAUGUGAAGACAACAAUACUGAGCAGAGCCUCUCGGAAAAAAUAAAGCAAUUAUAAAUAGGCCCUAAAGCUUUUGAAAACUCGAGCUUUCUAUCUGUUUGGCUAUGAGAGAUGAAAUGAUAUAGAAAAUUUUCAAAUUAGCUAGAAUUUCUUUUCAUUUGGAACAUGUAUUCCUUUUUCUUUUCCUUUUCCAAAUUAAUGGCAAGACUUCAACCACCAGGUUAUAACAUGGAUUCUUGGUUUCUAUGAGUAAUUUAUUAUUCAAAUAUCAUUGAACAUCAUUUGCAUUAUAUUUUGGUAUUUCAUAUUUUAAUCAUUAUCUUUUAUAAAAAUUCUUUUCCCUUUGAUAAAAAAUGAAAAAUAAAUAUAUCUUAUUUUGUUCUUAUGAUAUUUUUGAAAUAUUAUUGUGAAAAUAUUUUAAAACAUUAAUAACUUCUACACACUCAUUUUGUAUAUAAUUUUCUUACAAGCUCUCUAUGAUUUGAUAAUUCAUGCUUAGUUUUAUUUAUGCUGUAAUUAGAGUAAUAAUGAUAUUUGAUACAAAAAAUAUUAAUAUUUUUUAUAUUAUAUUUUAUUUUAAAUAAUCUAUGAUUUUUUAUGUUAAUAUAAACUUGGUUGGACUAGUGACGUAGACCUUUAACGAGGUCGAUCUUCAUAGAAAGAGAAGGAAAAGUGUGAUCAAUGAAAAAAUAGAGAAAUAUUGCUGAAAAUUGAUGUAAUUUUUUUUCUUUCAAAAGUGUCCUUAAGCAUAUAGAUAGAAUAGGAUAAGGUUUUUCUUUUUUAAAGGCAUAAUAGGUAUUUUACAUAAUUUUUUAGGAUAGUAAAUGUUCAACCAAACAUAAGCUAUUCUAAAAUAUGCUGCUUUUUUAUAGUCAACCAAACAUAUAAAAAUUAUUUUUUUCAGAUAUUAUAUAUUCGAAUAUCAGUUUUUUAGAAAAAAUAUUUUAGCAAGAAAAAUUCUUCUAGCAAAUCAAACAAACUCUAAAAUCAAAAAACAGAGUAGAAGUGUUCAUAGUGGAAUAUGUCUAAAGGUUUCCAUCUCCCCUGAGCAAGGGAGGCUGUUUUCUGGUUGUUCCUAUAAUGGGUCAGUAGUCGAAAUGGCACAGGAUCCUGAGAUCUAAGUUAUGAAUUGGCCAUCUAAAUAACUCAUCUGCUUGCAUUCCAGCCAAAAGACCACAGUUGUCGCUGAUUUAAAAGAAUAUUACCACAUAUAUAGGGCAUGUGCAAACAAGUUUCAAACUCCUCAUUUAUUCCAAUAAAUGUAAUUAAGCUUAUCAGAAGACAAGACUUAACAAUAGACACUACAAAAUUUACCUUUUGAAUCAUUGCUAACUGCAAGUUUUUCAAGCAAGUUAUGGAUAUCAAACAUAUUAAGCUUGGUUAUAAUUAAAACAUUCUGUUCUAUUAUAGCAAGCACUGAGUUGUAUUGCAGCUUAUUGGUAGUUAUCACAGCAUUACACUUCACCUCUAUGUAACCUGUCCUUCCAUGACAAUGCAAAGACACUUCUGACUACAGAAGAAGUUAGUAAAAUUUUCAAGGCAUUUCAAAGCCAUUAUUUCUAAUAUUGUUUGUGAUGUGCGACUAAUUAGAAUGAAAUACGACAAAUAUGAGGAUAUAAAGAAUGGGGUAGAAUGGAUCAAGGUCAUUGGACACUGAUGUCGUCCUUGGCACAACGAAACUUCACCCAUCAGCCUGGAAACCCCUUUCCUUCUGGGUGGUGGUGGUGGUGUCCGGCUGCAAAAGUUUGAGGGGAUGGAAAUGGAAAUCUAAUAGUCCCACCUAUAGACAAGAGACUUAUGCCAAACCCUUAACUUCCCAAUUGACCAACCACCAUGCCUCCCCCCAUACCUCCUGUUAACUUUAGCCAUGCAGCUCCCAGGGACAAGAGGUCAGACCCAACCAUUCCGUUGCUUCAUUCCCAUGCACCCCUUGGAAACCUUUUAAAGUAGGGGUUUGUUUCCGGGGUGGCGGCACAGGGCACAUCAUGGUUAGCUGCCGGAAUCCUAUAAAGUGCUUCCUCUCUCAUUGGUUUGGCCAUCGAGCCAAGUGGUGUAGAUACCCCAACACCUCCCCCCGAGGAAUCCAGUGAAAAAUCCAGUUACCUUGGAAACCUCGAAACCCUCCGUCACCUCCACCUGUGACAUGGCGAAUAUCUCCAGUUACCUUGACAGAGCGGCUUUUGUUGAGACCUUUGGGCGACCAGUGAAAGAGAAUGAUAUUUCUAACAUCGUCACCCAUAAAGUAAAGAAAUCUUGUUCUUGGACAACACAGCAACUCUCUGAGAGAGAGUUCCUCGUAUCAUGUCUGGACAACCAAAUAAGAUGCUGUCGGAAGCAUACAUGUAAUGGAUUUUGAAUUCAAAUAAGGACCGUACUAGAGACGUUGCUGGUAUCCCAAAAAAGUAAUGCUUUUUACGCAUCUUUUUAGCCAUGGCUUUCUUGCCGCAUGAACAUGGUCGGAAUGAUGGCAUCAUAGCCAUGUCAGGGGAAGGGAAAAAGCCAGUCAAAACUUUUUCCAAGCAACUGGAUACAACGUCUCCUAGGCAAGGUCCUGCAGCCACUGGAAAGCUGAGCACUCGCCUUCGAAAUAAAAAGAUAAAAAUGCUUAGUCUUGAGGAGGACGAACUUGUUCCAGAAGAUAUUUUAUACCUCAACACCCUUACGACCAAGGAGGUGAGAUUGCUCGGCAAAAAGUGCUACUUCUCUUCCAGGAAAAGUAGAAGCCUUGCCAGACAUCAAACUUCUCGUUGUGGACCCCUUCCAGUUGAUAUGCUAUUAAUUUGAUUUAUCAUCCACUUAGUAACAUAUUUGAUUCUAUAGUCAUAAAAUUUAAUUAUCCAAUUUAUAUCAGUAUUUGUAUUCAUACUUUGGGUGUCCAAUUAUAUCUGUAUCUAUUUAAAAUAAAUAUGGCUAUAAAUUUUUAUAUCUGACUAGCAUCGGUAUCCGUAUCUUUAUGCAUCAAACAAAAUAUAUAUAAAUAUAAAUAUGCUAGUAUUCGAUCUAAUUUCAGCCAUAACUUUCAACAUUUGUACGAUAUAUCGUUCAUUGGAUGCAUCACGAUGCCUUGUCACCCAAUUCACACGUUUUGGGUCUGUAUACUAUCUUACCAGUUAUCGAGCAGUGCUUCAUUAGUAGUGUAUUUUGGUGCAACUUUUGUCCCUAGUGGAGAUCUUGUGUAAUGGAAUCUAGUUAUCGUGCUGCAUCUCAUAAGAACCCGUUCCUAGCUCUCUUCUUACUCUUACCAUAUGUCGCUGCAUUGUCUAGGGCACCAGAACAUAUUUUAUAUUUAGAGAUGCAUAGCCAAAAUGACUGAAAUAAACAAGUGCAAGGAAGCCUAUUCUAUCUUAAUCCCGAACCACAUGCGGACUAGGUUCUGAUAGGUCAUCAGUUACAGUGCACACCUCAUACCUAUUAUCCUUUUUGUCACAUACCGCACAGCAGCUCUACUACUGCCACUAUUUCCAUGAUUUUUGUAUGCUGUCUAACAGAUUGCACAUAAAUCAGUCUGUCCCCAAUCGAUCUACUUAAAUGUUUGGCUUGGCCAUUUCUUGUGCCUUUUCAGACCUUUGUUAGUAGACAAGGCUUCACCAACCCUACCUAUGAGAACCAGACCAACUUGGCUUGUUCUGGACCAAAGUCAGCAAACUCAGUCGGCUUCAACUCAAAAUUCAAAAGAAAAAAAAAAAAUCGGAGCAGAGCAUUGCGAUCCCCCACUUGAAUGACUGCCAUUAGGGAGGCACGGCCAGCGCAAACUCCUCGCGGCCAAUAUGAAUGGCUGUUGAGGGCCACUGCAAUUGGCAAAUGGCCAGCUAAGGCUUAAUCCAAGGUUAUCCUCUUCCAAAACAUCUAUUUAAACCCCUCCUUCCCUUCAAUUGAUCCAUCAUGGCACCUCUUCCCACUUCCUCUCUCCUUCCCCCUUCUUAGGUGGCCGACGUGCCACCCCGGCCAAGCACCGCCUCUCAAAACCAUCUCUUUUUCCACUGAAAACAUCAUUCGUCUGUUUUCACAGACUGACCAUUGUUGCUUUCUUCCACUGGAAGUCACCACGGCUGGCCAAAAUCCUUCACCUCCAGCCCUUGCCAGUGAGUUCUCUAUCCCCGUUGAUACUUUCUUGGGCCGAGAAGGCUUCCACCGAGGUAGCUAGGCACUACCCCUCUUCUCUCCCCUUCUCUAUUGUGACCGAGCAUGUCCAUUCCCACUGACUGUCGAUGGCUGCUCUUCGCUGCCGCCUCACCAAAUUACCAUGAUCGUAUGUCCUAGAAGCUAAUUUGGCUGACAUAUAAUUUAUUCUGGGAUAUAAUUUUGUACUUGACUUUAUUAUUAUUGAAUAAUAAAUGGGCAUCUUUUUCAUUCAUAUUGUGUAUGUGUCUAUGAAUUAUCCAAAGAAUUAAUAAGAUAAUGAUGCAUAUUCUUAAGAGUUGAGAAUUUGAGCCAUGUGUCGUUGGUGAUUAAUUCUUGAAUGCUCCUGAUCGAUGGAUCAUCAUAAGAAUGGUGAUUGAUCCGAUGAGAUUAGUGCACAGAUCGCUUUCCUUUUGGAUGGACGAGUCUCGAGGUUACUAGGGCCAAGGAUGCCCCCCUGUACCAGUGCUGGAGGAUCCAUAGGCGAGUGUGAGCCCUCCCGAUCACGGACCUGUUGUUCCACUCUCGGGCCUCGAUUGGGCAAGACCCGAUGCCCCUUGUCCUUUGGCCCGCUCGUACCGUCGUGGUCGAUGGCCCGACCCAAGCUUCUGGCUUGCUCGCAACACUUUGGCCUCAGCCCACAUUGCUUGCACUAAUCGGCAAACUCCUGGGCCACUUGUUAGAUGGUCCCUAGCCCAUGUCCACCAUGUGGACCUCUGGACCAGCCCGCGCCCCAGUCGGCCCACUAUCUGAUGCCUCACCCACCGAGUCGUCCAGGUCUGCGAGCGAGUUGAAACCCGAUCCGACUCAGCCUCCCCUGCCGCCGACUUAAAACUAGAACCCAAGUCCCCUUCUCCGGCUGGCCUGUCCUUGGGUGGGGAGCGGCACUUGGCUACCUUCACCGGCUUCUGCCACCCGUCCGAGUCCGACGGUUUUUCGGGGAACUCGAAUGGUUGGCCGGAGAUUGUGGCCUCGAGGACGACGACUCGAGCAUGGACCCGGUCGUCUUCCUCGGCCGUGGCGGCACCCUCGCACCCGCGAUGGCUGGAUCCGAGUGGCCGCCAGCCAUGGACCAAAGAUUGGCCGCCGGGUCUCCUCUCCAAAACUAGAGUGCGGCUCUUCCCAUCGGUGUCCGCUCCGGCCCCUCCUCCAGCACCGACGCCAGGUGCCUGCAUGCCUCCUCAGCAUGCCCUAUUCAUCCACACUAGUAGCAAAUCUCAGGCACAUCCUCGUAGACGAAGGGUUGCCAGAGUACCCUCGUAUUCCCUCGGAUUUGGACGCUGGGCAGCAGCGAGGCAGUGGCGUCGAUGGCAACCCUUGCCCUAGCAAAGCCCAUCGCCCUUUGCUGUUUAGUAAAGCCGUCAACGGCAAGAGGCCGGCCCGCCGCCACCACGAUCUGGAGGAUCGUCUCGCUUGACCAGUACUCGACUGGGAGCCGAGGCAAUUAGAUCCAGACCACCGCCGUUUUGACGAUGUCCAGCCCCGGCAUGAAAUCGGGCUUCCACAGUUCCAUGGCCUACAGCUGGCUCGCCACCACCCAUGGCCACCAGUCAACACUGUAGCUCGAUCCGCCUUCGUCUUGAAUCGGAGGGCUAGGUGGUCGUCCGCGAAAGGCACCACCACCACCUCAGCCUCCAUCUUCGCCCGAGCACCUACAUCUUGAGCCACCCGCUCCGCCAGAAUCUGGCGACCCAAACUCCGGACCACCACUGCAAGAUCGGCCCAUUCCCUCCGCAACGCCUCGAUCGGCUCCUCCGGUAACUCGAGGACCACCGAGAAGAAACGUCGGAGUUUCUCUACCUCCGACUCCAAGGUGGGAUGCGUCACCCAUCCUCCGGGUUUCGCCCGGCCACUCGUUGCCAAUCCUCCUUCACCACCCACCCUACACAACUAUUCCUCCGAACUUAUCGUCGAUGCUAAGCCUAGAGAUGUUGGAUUUAUCGCAUAAUGAUCUUUCUGGGAGCAUACCAUUAUCUCUCACUGACUUAAGUUUGUUCUCUGGAGGCAAGGAAGGACCUAAAGAUCUUGGAGAAAUCAGUACACAAGACAUAAUGAAAUUUCCCAGCAUCCCAAUCAUGGCUCUGUUUUGGCUUAUAUGUAGUCAAAUUUUUACCUUUGUAGUUUUCCAAAAAAAAAAGAAGAAGAAAUAUUAUCGAGAGGUUAACAACAUUUAGCUAAUGCUUGCCUAGCUAUGUGCCUGGCUCCCUUACGUUUUUGUAAAAUGAUUACAGCAUGAUUAAAUGAUCAAAGUAUGUAGAGCAUGAACAAGGGUGUUUACUGCCCACAAGAUAUUAAAUCAAGUUCAUUAUUUGCCAUGCAGAGAAGGCAUCCCUUGAAGAAGCUGAUUCUCCAUAUCCCAAAAAUGUGAAUAGAUGAUAUAGAGCUUCAAUACACCUGGGGGCAAGACUUGCCACCCUCCCUGUUCACUACCUGCCCCUUGGAAAGAACAUUUCGCUGUGUUCCGAACAAACUUUUGAUCUCCUGAUUUCACUAUUACUUACCCCAAAACACUGCUGAACCCAUUUCUUAACCAUGUUAACGAUCUAAAAUCCCAUCUACUUCGUUCCACCAAAAAUUCUGAGAUUCUUUCUGACCUUAUCAUUAACAACAAUUAUGUUCAAUCUAAUUUUGAUACCACUGUCCAAAUGUUAUAAAUACGUUCAGGAGAGCGUUGAAUGUGCAAUUGGUGACCAAAGUGCCUCUAGAUCGACUGCACAUUUCAACAAUUCGGAAAGAGAUUUUUGACUGUUUCUUCAUGGUUGCUACAUAGUCCAGACUUUAAAAGCAAUCCAAUUCAUUUUCUUUAAAUUCUAAUCAGCGAGUACUAAGUAUUUGGUUACCUUCCAAUUAAAUGCUGUCACCUUCUUUGGACUGAGGCAAUUCUUGCUGCAGCAUGAGGAGCUACAAAUCCACAUUUAAUCAUUCCGAUCCCACCCUCCAAUUGGUUCUUGCGAGCUCAUCCGUGAAGCCUUUACGGAGAUAUUUCAUGCAGUUCCUAAAUAUUUCUGACUCACCUAAAGAUUUUCAUGAGCUAUGGACAGAUUGGAUGUAAGUUCUUGAAGAAAUCCUGUCAUCUAGCUAGGUUAGAUGACACUGAUGGCAAUCAUUUGUUAGCAAGCAUUGUUGGAGGAAGAAAAGAAUUUUCUUUAAUACUAAGAAAACAGCUGAACUUUUGGACACCUUUUUCCCUGGCCAAAGAUUGGAUCAGAAGCUCCUCUGUGAAAGAUCUUAGGAAGAUUUCUCCCCCAUUUAUAAUUGCAACUUGUUCUAGUCUCAGUGGUAGAAGUAUCUUCUCUCUUCCCUCCCAUUUUUCACCCCUAGGCCAGAGGCUCCUCUGGAAAGAUCCUAGAAAGAUUGCUCCUCUGUUUACAGCUGCAACUUAUUCUAAUCCUAGUGGUCUCAGUGGCACACGCCUCUCUCUCUUCCCUCCCAUUUCACCUUUCUUUUAUCUACAUGUACUACUUCCAUUUUCUGAAAUGAAAGUGAUUAGGUUAUGAUCUAGUCUUAAAAAGGAGUAGGGAGACAUGCACUACAGUUUGUUUCUCAAAAUAUUGCAUGCAUAGUAUUUUAUAGAUGAUUCAUUACUAUCAAGACUCAUAACUUGCUUAUCUAAUAAAUACCUAAAAAUCCAAAGUAAAUUAAUCACAUAAAUAAUGCAACAGAAACUUCCGCCAUAUUUUGUUAUCACUGUCAUUUCAGUGGGUUUAGGUUGUAUCUUUCGCACCAAAGAAUGAUUCACCUUGUUUCACAAUGUCAACCACCGCACAACGGCCGCUUUAAGAUCUGUGCCAUUGGAUCGCACAACGGCUGCUUUAAGAGCUGUGCAGGUGGGGGAGAGGCUAGCAUUUAGAGCGCUUUGAGAGCUGUGCAAUGCACAAUCCCAUGGUUGAUCUUGGGAAAACAAGAUCAAUCAUUCUUACGCAGGAAAGAUACAACCCGAUCCCCAUUUCAGUUGAGUGAAUUGUUUUGCAUGUCCCUGCACAGAUCUUAGCAUACCUCAACCCAUGUGGAUGACAGCAUCAUACUCAAAAAGUUUGAUGAAGCCCCAAACCUUCAUGUCUGACCCCAGUUAAGCCACUGACCUAAAAAUAGCUGCCGGUUCAAGAAAUAAAAGGCCGGAAAAAAAGAAGCGUUGACACGCAGGAAACCUAACUUUCAAAACCAUAGGCCUAAACGACUGGUAGUUCCAGGAAGGGCCUUCAUACAGCCAUGAAUGAAUGCUUCUCAACGAUUGUCAAGCUGCUCUUCCUUCAGUUCUCCCAACAAUUCAUCAUCUGUCUCAGGAUUUUGGCUUCCUUCUUCCCCCAGGUGCAAUUUUGAGGAUCCCAAAUAUCGGGAUCGCUUCCUUCCCUGUCGGUAUGUCUUCUCACUAUACUUUCUUUUGUUCUUCAUUUUGUUAUCUUUACCUCAUUAACAUGUGAUAUCUUCAAUCAGAUAAUUGUUUCUUCAUAGACUAAAAUUCCGUGAAACAACGGAAAGCUGCAUGCAGUUUACUGACUUCUGUGCAUUCAUUAAGCACGUCUAAUCUUGUUUGUAGAUGGUGUUAAAGAGUAGAAGCAACAAGUAAAAGAAUGGACGGACUAAUAUCAAAACUCAGUUCCCCAGAAAUCAACUCAAAGCAUUGAACAUGGAUGAUUUUCUGAAGCAAUAAUUGUCGAAAAAAGUUAGCAGUUCAACAUGAAAGGUUAAACCAGAAGAAACGUUGUGUAUUUCUAAUUACAGAAAGAAUAUUAUACAGAACAUACAUGCAAUGAUUCACAACUUUACAGUCUCCACUAGAACAAGCAUAACCCUCUAAACCAACCUUACAUCCAACGUCCGAGACUCAUUCUCUUUUCUACAUUCUUGCUUGUUACUUCUAUAUGGAAACAUAGGCUGUACAGAACCUAACAAGUUCCAUUUUUGAUAGACUGAAAGAGCACAAGCUACACAGCAUUGUAAUCCCUGAAUCAAUGGAUAGGAUGGUAUUGUGUGAUGCCACGCUUAGGUGGUAGCUUCCUCAAGAUGAAAAGGACCAGAGCUGAAGGAAGAAUUUCCACCAGCUGCAAACAUUGAACAAAUAACGUCAAAGCACUGAAAUGCUAACUAUGAGAUAAUAUAUAAUGGAGAAAGAAAUUGAAACGAUUGAGUUCCAUCAGAUUACAAAUCAAAAAUCUGCAUUAACUGGAGAUGAACUAAAAUUCUCCAAACUUGCUAGACCCUACUGGAUCAAACAACUUAGCUGGAUCUAACUUAGACUAGCACAACCUUAUUAUGCCAAGUCUGAGUCAGGCUGCAUCAAGAUCAACCAAACCCAAACUACGUACAUCCAAAACCGAUAACAUGCUUCAAGUGUGAGACACAGAAGUUAAAUAUCAUCUAAAGAUCCCAUUGCAAGAGCAAUUAGCCCUUUGUAAUGAACAGUUCCUCCCAUUACUCAUCCCCAAAAAGGAGAGAGCAUCUAUAUAUUCUACGCAUAUAUACACUAAUCUAGUAAAAUUCAAUUGAUCAUCUAAGGUUGUCACUAAGUACAGCUUAGAUAGAAUACCAAACCUGUCAAGUUACUUCCCAAUAGAUUAUGAUAACAGCAAGAUUGAAUAAUUCACCAAAAAAAUGUCUACAAAUUCAAAUGCUUUUUCACAAAGUUAAAUGCUCACUUCUACACCAACUUUCUAAGCAUUUAAGAUCAGAAACUACUCCAAGUAUUCACAUGAUUCACUUUUUCUUAAGAUACACACUUCACAAAGUAAAGGAAUUUGCAUCCUCAAAGGAUGAAGUUACUUCAGUAAUAUUCUAGAUCAUGUUUUUGAUGAUUCACAAUUAAAGAUUUCCUUAUUUACACCUAAUUUUAGCGACAUAAAACUACAAUGGUUACAACAGAAUUAAAAAUAGUCAAGGACCAAUAUCUUCAAAAACAAAUAUAUCAUCAAACAUCUGCAUACUGUAAAGUAAUAGCCACCUAUAUGUAUCUCAGUUAAUGUUAGUAUUUCAGAAAUCCUAGCCACCUACCAGGUUCAUUCAAAAAACUAAUAGCAGCAACAAUGAUAUGUAAUUACGUUCAUUGUAAUACAUGAUGUAUCUCUAACAUAUUAUAAUAUUCAUAAGAUAUGCUUUGAUUGGCAAACAUUUAAGUUGGGGGAAACAAUCAGGCUACCAUGUAAUUAUUGUUCGUGCCAAAGUAUCAAACUAUUACUUAGCGACUUAAAAUGAAUCGGAAGUUGAGAGAAAACAUGAAAUUUGGAAACUCUCUCAUGCAUAAGAAGUCUACAUGCAUGUGGCAGUUAUUAGAUGAGAAGUUAGUAAAAUGGUAGUUUCCAAUUUAUAGAAGAAACAGCAUUAAUCAACUUUUUUAUAACUAAAACCUAAAUAAUUUUAUGAACUUCCUUAAAUCUAAUAAUCUUUCCUUGACUUAUUGCUUUCUUGUCAUUCUGAUAACUUUUAGUUGACUUAUUGACAUUAAAAGAAUCCAGAUAAGUUUCCCUAUAGUCUUAGAAAAAGGCUGCUAUCACCAACAGACUGGGGAAGGACAAGUAUAAGAUGAUUUAAGAGAAACAGUCUACCCACUAAAGGCAUUAAAGCUCAAUCAAUUAUCAAAAAUUAUACGCAUAUACAUGGAGCCUAGUCCCAACCAUUUGACACUUGCUUGUGAAUCUUUCAACAACCUACCCUUCAUUCCCAAUACAUGAUAUAUUUAAUGACAUUGGAAGCUUUUCUACAUCCCUUUUCAAAGCUUCCAANNNNNNNNNNCCUAUUCUCUGGCCCUUUACAAGCCUAAGCACCUAUCCUUAUCUAACCUUCUAGGAUCUUUGUUGCACAAGUCCAUCCAAAAUAGGUUCCCAUCAUUGUUCCAAACUCAUAAAGCCUGUACUCCUCAUUUAAUAAUCACAUCCUCAUUCCUGACUCUAUCUUCCUAGAUUAACCACAUAUUUGCCUCAGCACUCCAAUCAGUCACUGACACACCAUAUUGCCGAAUGUCUUAAACCACACAACAUAUUGGACCUCAUUGUUCAAUGAAUGUUUCAACUAAGGUUCACCGUCUCGGUAUUAAACCCAUACUAGUACCAUCCUACAAUACAUCAGGUACGAUAUGAUACCGACCGGUACAGCAAAACUUGAUUUCAACAAACGAGCCAAAUCAUGAGUUAUCACAUCCAAAAGCACCCCUCCACUUCGCAUCUAAUUGAAUAUUAUUCUAUCAUAUAUGUAUUAUGCCAUAAAAAUCUCACCGUUUAAUAGAUUCAAGAUGAAACUGAAGCAUCAUUUCCAUUGAAAUUGAAAUUGCAUUUCAUAUAUUAUGUUUAUGUCCUAUUCCUUCUCCAAGGCCGCCUCCACAAUUAUAGUCUAACACAAACCAAGUUUUGUCUAAUCAACUAUAUACAAACUAAGGUACCUCUUCUUACAUAUCAGCCAUAAGUUCAUUUAUAAUGUAUAAAGAUAAGUGAACUUAAAUGCUGCCUAGUUAUCAUGCAUGUUAUAGAAAUUUCAGAUGAUCAAUAAAUGCAUUGAGCUUGUUAACAUCAAGUUGAUCCAUAAAGCUGAUCAAUGUAGAAGGAACCAGAUAGGACUUUUAGGAUAAGGUUCAAUGUUCUGAGAUUAGCAAUAACUGCAGCAUUUUGAACUUCUAGUUCCUCAUUACUUCAAGAUAUCAUUCACUAAUAGACGUUUUAUGAAAUGUAACAUGGAUUGGACCCAUACCAAGUAGAAUAAGAAGUUCAGAAUCGGAUGGUUCAGAACGUCUAGGUUUGCAGCUUUAUCCAAAGCAUUAAAGCACAUCUGUGAAACAAGAUUUGGAAUUAGUAGAGGUAAUUACAUCAACAGCUAAAAAGUGAGGCAUGCUUCGCCAAACAUAGUCGCCAGAACAUACUACAAAUUACGCAAAAAGUAUAGCACUUACCAUUAUACAUCUCACCAAGAAACAGGAGAAACAUAUGGUGGUCACAUAACCAACCUGUUAAACAGGGGGGGUAAAGGCAAUGCAUUAAAUAAUAAAUCAGGAGCUAGAUGCUCUAAAUGAAAAAUGCUUUGCUAUACACAGUAGAACCAAAAGUACCUCCUGUAAUUUUUUGCGUCUCCCUUUUGAUUCAACAGGGAAGCGUUGCAACAUCAGAAAGAGCCUAGCAGCGACAAUGAAAGUGAAUAUGAAAGACACAAGUUGCAUAAAUACACAGAUUAUAAUGUGCAGUACAUACACUGAAAUUUUUAAAUUAUGGAGUGUCAAAACGUAUGGAUCCCUGGAAGGAUACUAACCAUACCAAGUAUCAGUUAAGAGCAAUCUUUCAGAAAAAGGAAUCAGGGCGCUUUUGUUUAGGGGUCGGGGGGUGGGGAGUCAAUCUUCUAUGGUUUGCUAAUAUCUGUAUGAUUUGAAGGGCUCUAAAAUUGGUUAUUUGAUAUCAGUGAUUUGGUGGAUGAUCAUGUUUUAACACUUCUAGAACAUAUGAUUGCAUAAACUCAUUACAGUAAAAUACAGUCCUGUUUCCAUUUAUGUUGCGACCUAAAUAUGCACUACAAAAAGGCUGAAGCUGGCAAAUUUAGCAACGCAUGAGUUAGGAAGCCUAAGGACCCUGAAACAGUCAGCAAACAAAAUUUUAAGGGGAAAAAAUAACUAUAUUUACAAGGAGAACAAAAAUGAACUGCAAGGAGAGUAACAACAAAGUCAACAUAAGCAACAACUUUCAGUUUGGUUGUUGUACUUGCUAAGCAUACCUUAACCAUGUGUUCAGAAUGAGAUCUAAACUAACACAAGGGCUAGUUAUGAGAAUUAUAAAAAAAAGAAGAUAGCUAUGAGAUAAAUGUUAAAAUCAACCAAAUUAGUUAGAAUAGUUAGAUAGACAAAUAUCAUAAGCAUCUCACCUCCCCCCAUAGAGAAGAAACCCAAGAGCAGCAAAUAACGAGACACCUGCCAAUAUACAUAUGUGAACAUUAUUAUAGGUUCAAAAGUAUAUAGAUGAUUUUUUAAUUAAAAUAAUAGAAAGCCAACAAAUUAAAACUGCACCUGCAAAGAACAUCUUUGAUAAGAUGAGAACAGCUCGAACAGGCUUCCACCACAAAAGCAGCCACAGAGCUAUCUGCAGAGUACUACUUCAAUCACUCAAAAAAUACAAGCCAAAUGGUAAAGACCACAUAAUCUUUCCAAACCAUGACGGAUUAAAUAAAUAAUAAGUAAUCUAGGCACAGAAACAGCCUGAAAGUAUACUGUAAAGACUGCAAUUUUCUUAUAUAACUUAAUUGAUGUGUCGACUCAAUUAGUUAUUUGUUUUCUUCUACAUUAACAUCAAUGAAAGCCACUAUUAUCUGCAUCAACAUGACAUAAGGAAAAGAUACUUUUCUUAUACAACUUAAUGGAUUUGUCAACCCAUUCAGUUAUUUGUUUUCUUCUCAACUAACAUCAACAAAAGCCACUAUCAUUUGCAUCAACAUAACACAAGGAAAAGAUUCCCUAAAACCCAAGUUUUAAGUUCCCAGAUUACCAGACUGGCUUCAGCUGUCAUGGUUUUGUAGUAUCACUCAGUUUUAUCCAAAGCCCGUUUGUUUUAGUUUGGUUUCGGUUAAAACCAACACAUAAAAAGGCUUGUGUAUCCUUCACUCAGUCUUUUAUCCCUUUCUUGUUUUUCUUUUCACUUUCAGGGAAAACAUGCCAUGGUACAUGGAAUCAACCUCAUAGAAACAUUUUAAUAAUAUAUAGCAUAGGAAAUUUGCAAAUUUUCAGGAGGCCUGGAUUCUAUAUAUAUAAAUAAGUAAAUAUUGAGAAGUGUAAAUUUUUCAACCAUAUCUCUGUAAAAUUGGUCAAUAUUUAGCAGAAUCUUUCAUCCACAAAUGUCCAAAUCUGGAAAACGGACUAGUUGAAAGAAAUACAGAUUUACUUUUUAACCGAUAAUUUCUUAUUUUAGAACUUCAACACAUGUAUAUUUUUUUUAUGUAUGAAGCAUGUUGGAUGUGUUCAUUAUCAAAUUCUAUAGCCAUUCUUGUGGGUACAUGUUGCCAUGGUUAUUUGCUUUCCCAUAAGAAUAAGAGGUGACACCAAAUAGUAAAUAUUGUAGUGAUUCAUAUUUCAACAGUCACUCUUACUAUUGGAAAAAAUACUUUAAAUCAGCUGAUUCAUGUUUUCUAGCUAACAGUACCAUUACAAUGAAGCCUCGUCUCACUAUUUAACGUUGCCUUUAUGACAACUCACAAAAGCAUUAUGUUGUCUAAAUGUUAUGCUAAAAGGAAUUUACUCAAAUUUACUCAUCAUUCAAAAAUGCAUUUUGUAGGACGCAGAUGAUAUAGUGAGAUUAAGCAGCUCAAAUGCUAUUUUUUGUAUGGUAAUUACGAGUCUCUUGAAAUCUGCACAGAAUAUUGACUUAACUAACCAGUUUGCUGUUCAAACCAUAACCCAGAGCAUCUUAAUGAAACCCCAGGGGCAUUCAUUAACCAAGCAAGAGAAACUUUAACUAAUUAAAUAUGUCAUUAAUUGCACAAUCAUAAUAAUGCAUGCCACUACCACAAUAGGGUUAUUAACUUUUAGGAAUACCCCAAGUCAUUUCUUAACAUGUCCAAUAUUUUCAACUGUCUUAUGCGAUUUCUCAUGUGUUCAUCCACCAGCAUUAGCUGUCAAUACUUGUGAAUGCACCCAUUCAAGGCUCAAACCCAUAAUUUCUGAUUACUAAGCACGGGGUUAUAACCACUGAGGUGAGCCCCAGUUCAUAGUUUGGCAUAAUUUCAGAUUCCCCUAAAUCUAUAGGGCAGCAAAUAUUGAAUCUCAGUUCACUAUAACAAAACAUAAAUGGUAUAUUUGCAAGUAACAAACCAAAUGAAAAUUUUAACGAUGUUUGCAACUAUAAGUUAAUAAAAUAUGAAGAUUUAAGUUGCACCACAAUUUCAAAUUUUGUUGACAUAUCAACUUUUUGAGCAUUAUUAUAUAAAAUGAUUGACAGAUGUGUGCAUCUUCAUAUCAUUAAUAUGUACUGCCACUAAAGAGAUGUAUCAGAUCUCAAGCCUAGCUGUUGAACUAAUUGAUAACAAGAAUAACUAAAUAUUUUUCGAUCAUUUAUUUCGAUGGAAAAAAGUGUUUGAAAGAUAUCAAAAAAAUGUACCUUGCAGAAAAAGUGUAAGUCCACACUCAAAGCAUCUUUCUAAUCACAAUAUUGUGACUCCACCUACCACUUCCAAGAUUGGAGAAACUAUAGCCCACCCAUCACCCAAAUAAUGAAUGAAGUUAGUUCAUAAAAAUUAAUCUCUCAGCUACUUUUGAAUCUUUCACCUCUUUUUUCAUGCAUAGGGCUAGAAAUGAGCAUAUAUGGGUUCAAGACUUACCAACCAGGCCAGGCCUCAUUCACAUGGGGCUAGGACAAAAUAUCAAGGUGCAAAAUGAUUCUAGACAAACUCUGGCCACUGCAUAUACUCAUUGCCCCUAGAAAAAGCCGUUUGCAUGACUGAGCACAAGUAGAGCCUUAGUCAAAAGCUUGCAAGAAUUUUACCUCCUACUAUUAGAGCACCUACUUCCUUUAGUCUUGAACAACCUCAUAUUCCACGACCACCUAAAGCAGUUGCCGGGCCAAAGUGAUGGAGAUCCAAGUUUGUGCCACGUUGCAUCAUGCUGCAGCUUAGAGUUUUUAUUAUAUUUGAUUAUCAUUUUUUUAUGUAUUUUUCUUUUAUUUUCUGGUUAUUUUCAAUUUCAAUAGGUUAUUUUGGAUUCUAGGUUGAGAUUUAAAGAUCUCAAUACUUAUCUAAGAACCUAACUGCUGUAGCAUAUUACAAUUAAUGGCACUGUACAUGUUACAGUAAUCAUGAAUAGUAAGUGCGUCUUAUUAGGAGCAGUUUUGGAUUUUAAAAGAGUUGAAUUAGAAUUUCUGUUUUGUUAUAAAAAGGGGACGCUUAGUGUUUGAUAUAAUCACAGUUUAAGCAGAUUAUGAAUGAAAUAAUGGAGUCUUCAGUUUUCUUUACUCUUGUAGUGUGAGGUCUUGAAACCCUAAGUGUGACUCCAAGGUUUCAGUAUGAGUCCAGUAUUAUCUUUUCCCUUCUCUUAGUUUUUUUUUCUAUGUUUGAUCCCCUAGAGACUUAUUUGGACUUACUUCCUUGUCUCUUAUUCAUCUCUUAUCGAUCUCUAUUUUGGGUUUCACAUCCCAAAAGAUUUUUUUUGGUCAUAUAAAUAUCAGAUUUUCUUUCAAACUAUUCCUGCAAGCACGCGAUUUCAUAUAUUUAAAUGCAUAAAUCCUAAAAGUCUCAAUUUAACCUGUAGAAUCUUAAAUUUUAGGUUAGAGAGUAGCUAUUCAUUAACUAUUCUCUUCAAAAAUAUUAUCUUUCUAGUUUAGUUUUAUCGAAAACUAAGAUCUGCGAUUGAAUUUCCAGUACAUUUCAAUCAUAUCCUAAGCCAUUCUAGAUCCCCUUCACCUGUCCUACAUCACACAGCUUUGAAGCAUUGCUUAUGUUGCACCAUAAACCAGCAGGACCAGAAGCAUCAACCUCCUCGAGCCAUUGCCCAACCACCUAGGAAGCACGGAUGCUUCAAAUUACAUGUGUCUGUAUCAGGUAUGUAUUUACUGGUACUCAUUGAUUACUUCUUGAAGACAUGGCUGAUACUUAUAUAUCUUAUUUUUUAAAAUUAAGAAAAGAACUUCAAAUAGUUCUCAAAUAUACUUAGAGGUUGUUUGGUUGUUGUGAGUUUUUCUAUAACAAAUUAAUUCUCUGUAAAACAAGUUUCAAGAAAAAUAAGGGAAGACCUGUUUUCAUAAAAUUCAUUCUUUGGGUCUUAUUAAUUGUCAAUUUGGGCCAAAUAGGUGUUCCAAAAAAACACCAGACAAAUAUUUCCGUAAAACUCAUUUAUUUCCAGCUUUUAGUAAUCUUAAACUGCUAAAGCUCAUCAACCAAGCUUUGAGGUAAGCUAUCUAGAAGCAUCAAAUGUUUAAACAAUUGGAUAUAGUAUGCCACAAUAUGACACGAUUGGGUACUCCACUUCGAAGUAAAUCGGUAACACCAGCUAAAGUUGUCCAACAAUUGGACAUUUUUUGUUUAAAGUCUCAUCCAGAGAAACCUUAGUUUAAAGUGUUAGAUGCUUCAAAUGAAAUUUCCUUAUAUUUUAAGUUUAGAGCUAUCAAGAUUUUCCAGACUCUUCAAGUUUAAGUGUUGUUAUCACAAUUAAUAUGUACACUUUAAGCAAAGGGUUGUUAUGUUUUCAAUAUAAAGUUAUCAUAAUUAUGUGAACACUUUAAGUGAAAAUGUAAUUCAAAUUAGUUAUCAACUUAGGUAUCUCAAGACAUCUUAAAAAACUUUAAAUGAGCCUAGCAGAUAACUUGCAAGAAUUGUUACUAAGGUAUGGCAUUUUCCAUGUUCUUUGUCUUAUCUCCAUGGGGACAUGAUACGGCAUGCCAAAUACAGCAUGACACACUGCAAACAUGCAUCCUUUCAUAGCCCACGCCCCAUCUAAAUUCCUAAUCUUAAGGACUAUAUUAAUCAUGAUUGACCACAUAUCCUCAUUCUCGUACAUAAUAUGGCUGUGCCUCUCAUCUUUCAUCCAUCCAAGAUGAAGCCAUGGAAAGGAAAAAGGAAAAAAUGUGAAAAAACUAAAAAAGGGUUAAAGAAGUGGGAUGAGGGAAGAGCCACAAACAAAGAAAAAAAAUGAAAAGAAGUGAGAGAAGAGGGAAGAAUCUGUACCUUCCUCAUCACCACCCCAACUCUAAGACAUCCACCACACCUUUGAGCAGUAGGAGCAUUCUUCUCUCUCUUUCUUUUUAGCCUAAGCCAUAGGAGGCAACUGGAGGGGGUGUUGUUCCCAAGCAAUGAUUAAGGACUUUGAAAAAAGCCCUUUUCCCUAACAGUGAUGUUCUUAAGUGAACAUGGCCAUAGCAUUUCUAGUUGUAGAGCCCAGCAUCUAAGCAUGCGGCCCAUUAGCCAUAACCCAUAAAUAAGGCUAAAUAGAUUUAUUCAUUAAGAUUAUGUUAAUUUAGUGUUUUUCUAUUCUUUCUCCAAUUCAGGGCUAUUAGGAUAUAAAUUACUUAUUUUAUCCUGUUAGUUUUGCUAAAAUUUUAUGUUCUAAUAUAUAUACAUAUAUUAAUUAUAUGUCAUUGUGUCCCUGUAUACACAUUUUUUGAGAUUGUUGUGUCAAAUUCUUCGGGAUACUUGGACACUUGAUACCCAUGUCCCGUGUCCAAGAAACAUUUCUCACAAGCACAUGGUUAUUCCAUUAAGUUUUUGUUUGUUAGACAAACUCUAUAAUUCUACUUCCACUUUUAAGUUACUCUUCCGAAAUAAGCAUCAAAACAUGCACACGUGUGUCUACGUAUGUAGGUAGGUAUCUAUGGACUGACACAUAUACAUAUAAAUAUAUGUACGAGUCCACACACAUGUCCCUGUGCCUGGAUUUUUUGUGGUUGUCAUGUCCAACACUUGAGGACACUUCAACACUUAGCAACCAUGUCAAGUGUCCAAAAAUGAGGGAGGGCAUUUUCUUUCUUUUCUUAAAGAAUAACCUUUAAAAAGUUAUGGUCAAUUUUGUAGCCUAACAUGUCAACACUAAAAUAUGAAGUAUGCUUUAAGAUCUAUCGAUUUGAAUAAUGAUUAAAUGAUGAGAUUGUCAAAAUUGAUGCUGUCGUAUAAUGUGUAGAUUGUCAUUUUGUUAGGCUGCUACGCUUCAUGGAUUUUUCUAUUUACAUAUCUAAAUAUAUGCAUGUGUAUACACACAUACAUAUAUGUGCACUAUAGCAUAUAAACAUACAUAUAUAAAUAUAUAAAAGAGGAUGUAUAUACAUAUAUGUAAUAUUUAUAAGUAUGUGUAUUUGUAUGUGUAUAUAUGUGUGUGGGUGUGUAUAGAUAGAUACAUGUAUAUAUGUAUGUAUAUGUAAUUGUUUGCACUCCUCAACAACCUAGAAGGCAAUCAUGAGCAAGCGCCACGUGGACCAGUCAAAGUGGAUGAUAGUCACAUGACCCUUGCUGGACUGAUAGAGUUCGGCUGUGAUAAUCAAACAUGAAGGCACAAGCCAAAGGAGGAAGAUUCAGCAAUGACGUUGACAAGCAAGCCAAGAGAUUAAGACUGGGUCGUGAUCAACCGCAAUACAAGGUGGAUGCAUUGGUCUCAAGAGUCUCCCAAGGCACAUAAAAGGCCAUUAAAGAGAAACGGCCAACAUAAGCCAUGUAGGGAUAGGGCAAAGAAAGUUUAACGAUGACCAAGGCUGAUAGAGUAUGAAUAUUGGUCAAACAAUUAGUACAAAGUGGCCAUUUUCAUGGUCAUGCAAUAGUAGGAAGACAACCGCAAUUAGUUACCAAAACUACUACAAGUCGAGACUUGAUGCGGAUAACCGUCAAAGUGAGCAGUUACUAUAUUUUUAAUAUAAAUAAUGGAUUUGUACUAUGUAAUAGGACCCUUCGACAUCCAAAUCAAUGCAAUUUAUCUUAUCUAAGUUCUUAAUCUACCAGUAGUUUAUACCUUAAGAGCAGUGGUAACUUAAAUUAGAUUUCUACUAUCAUAGCCUUAUGCUACAUCCCUAUUCCUUAUACAGAUCCAUCUCACUCAAAUGGUAGUAUAAUAGUGGCAAAAAAUUUUGAGGUCAAAGCACCUGGACCCAUGGUUGAUGGAACCGUCCCGAACCGUUCGGUUCAAAGCGCACCAAGUCGUAUCUGCGGCAGACUGGAAUGGUUCCGACAACCAAAACGAGAAACUGGGAUGGAAGAGAUGAAGAAGGAAAGAGAGAAAAAGAGAGAGAGCAGUGAAGGGAGAGGAAAAGGAAGAAAGAGAGGGAAAGUGGCUGUCAGUCGAGGGCUGCGAAGGGCUGGAGAGCCGCGCAGAGGGGCAGAGGAGGGGUUCCACCUCCGGUUACCCUGUUUCUUUUGAAACAGGGGUCCCCGAGGGGACUUCUUUUUAUUUUCAAAAUUUUUAAGUAAAGUUGAAAUCCUUCGGGAGUCUUGUUUCAAAUGAAAUAGGAAAACCAGAGGCAGAACUUCCGCCGGCCUCCUCUCUCCCUCCCUCUCUCCCUCUUCUCUCGCUCUCUUUUUUUAUCUUCGGUUCUCCCUCUCCCCCACCUCCUCUACUAUGUCGGUAUGGGCCAGCACAAAACAACAUAGAAAUGUACCGACCCAUGCCAUCGAAAAACCGGUCUGCACCCCAGUUCCGGCACAGCAAUCCUUGCCUGGACCUACAAACUCCUAUAAUUCAAUUACCUUUAAUAAAAGACAUCACCACCAUCUUUUCGGCUAAUCUAAUACCGAUGGCAUGCUCGUGCACAUAUCUACCCCUUGCUAUUAGGCUUGUCAACUCUCUCUAUCAGACGACCGAGUUUCUUAGGACAAGGAGUUCCUUGGCACACCUAGACACGAUGGAAAGGGUGGGAACAGUGAUGUAUGUAGAUAUACAUAUGUGUGCAUGACAAUCUAGAUGUAUAUGUAUUUGUACAUAUGCAUAUGCAUGGUAUAUGCAUAUGUAUGUAAAUAUGUAUGCAUAUUAAUAUAUCUUAGCCAUAUCAUACUAUAUUCUUCAAGAUUUGCCAUAUCGAUGGAUUUGUACCGUGUAACAGCUAUAUCGCAUAUCCAUGUUGAUGCUUCUAGUCUACCACAAGCAAUCACAUAGAAAUUAGUUUAACACUACUUCAAAACUUCUGAGCUGUCACCUCCAAAGCGAAGAUUCUCACCUCCUUCAUACCGUUACCACAGAAUAUCUUCUCCUACUUUUAUCUUUGAAUUGACAAGCGAGUUAGUUGAUUAUAUUCUAAUACUUAAAAUAUGCAUAAAACCUAUUGCAUGUACCAAAGAUGAACUUGAAUGGGAUUGAGAAGGAUAGUUACUGUACAACCAAUAGAAAGGGCCUAAAAUGGAUAGACAAAGUUUAUGGCCAACACCAAUUCGAAGUGGUGCUUGACUGUAUUAUGGAGGAGGACAAUGUAAAUAGCAAUAGUAGACACAAUGACAAAUGUUGACAGCAUGUUUGAUAAGUAUUUUGCUUGCAUUAAGCUAAAAUUUUUGGACUUCACUCAUUUCCUUUUAAUAUGAAACUAAAUUUAAGAACUUUACUAUUGCGCACUCUUAAAUUUAUCUAUUAUCAAACUUUGAUAUAGUUACAAUUAUUUAACAUGAUUCGGGGAAUAUGUUGUUUAUAGUGACUUUUAAAGUGUUCUAAUAUAUAUCAAGCUACCAAUAACCAUAUAUUAAAAUUGUCUUGAUAUAUUUUAAGAUGUUUCAAUUCAUAAAUGCCCCUUUCUAUAAUUAAUAAUGUCAUUAUGAUAGUUCCCUAAUUUUGGUUCAUAAAUUCAUUUUUGAAAAAUUAAAUUAAAAUCAUGGGUCAAUGUACACCUCAAAAGAAAAAAAAAGACAAUUACAAGUUAUCCAACUUCAAAUCUAAUUAACUAUUUUAAUUUGUAAUAAAAUUUCCCAUUGUAUUAUCUUAUUAAUAUCAAUUUCUAAGACAUUAAGUUGUUUCUGGCUCAAAGAAAAAGUCUUUCAUAAGUAACAGCAUACAAGUUGCAUCCAUCAUGGCAUAGAGUUCCAUGGAUUCAUGGAUCAAAGGCUCAUAAGCCAUAGUUAACAAUGUGAAUGGAGCACCUAAAAAAGUAAAAUGUCCAAAAGACUACAUUAACCAAAAUGAUAACAAUAGCUCUUAAUUUCAGAUAUUACUUGAUUGAGAUCUGUCUUAGCUAUUAAAUCUCCAUCUAUUUGUUUUCGAUGUCAAGUGCCUGGUCCGUAGUAGUUGGAAUUUUCUAUCUAGAGUAAUACACCCACUUCAACAUCUUCCUUCCUAGAAUCUUGAACCUGCACCUACUUCCUAAGCACUUCCUUGCAAAAAGUGUUUCUAAAAUAUUCACUUCUCUGCACCCAUACCUACAUUCCACUCCUAAACUCGCUUCGAAUUCUAGCAACUAACAUCUAGUCUCCAACAUGUUAAUUAGUCAUCAAAUCAAUAAUUCCAUGCCACAAGACAAGAGGUUUGUACAAACCAAGGUCGUUGAAAUGAGGAAAAACUAGUUCACCUUCCAUGUGUAAAUUGGAAAACCUAUUGGCAAUCCAAUUUCUUUGAUUGCAUUAACUUUCCAGUUUUAUCAUACAGCUAACUAGCUGUGAGCAAACAGAUAUAUGUAUUUGAAAGAUAUGCUAGUCCAAAGUAUAUCAUUUGAUAUGCUAAUCAACUGUUUACCUGUAUAGCAUAAACCACUCCAUUAAUUGUAUAGAAAGUUGGCCUAAGCCCAUCAGUCGACACGGCACGUGCCUGAACACAUUCCAAUUCAGAAAAAGGAACUGAGUAGGCAUCCGAAAUCAUUUUAAGCAAAAAGAAACUAAACAAAGAAUCCAUGAUCAGUCAAGAUAAUCAAAAAUGAGCAAGGAUGGUUCAUCAAAUUGAGAAAUAUCCGACCUGAUAAUAUAUUUCAGCCCAGAAGAGUACCAACAGUGCAUAGGUUGUGAAGAAUGCAAGACCAGGAAAAUCAAGAAGAACAUGUUGAAAGAUCUGAAAUGCAACAAUAUUAUAAUAAUGGCUUGGAAAUAUUUGGUUCAAAUGCUCUGGAACCAGCACAUAGUUAAAGUUCAUCAAACCUCAGGCUUUAUCUGCUGCACAUUCCGACGAAAAGCAAAAAUAACCGAUCGGACUGCAAUUGACCGAUAUAACAGCAGUGUCAACCAUAAGCAAAGAAAAAUAUCCCCAGUGUUGUUUAUGGAAAACAUGUAUUGAAGGAUACAAACCGCCAUUCACCAAGAAAUUCAAGAAAUGGAAGACCUUUUGCGUCGUCCAACCAUACUCUGGUACUCUACAUUCAAUUCUAACCAAUUGUAUCUGCAAGGCACAAAAUUUCAGCAUCCAAAAGCAUAAUUUUUAAUGGAAUUUUCAAGCCUAGGAAAAUGAAAGGCCAGUUUUCAGUCUUCACUUUGUCGCAGAAAUCGUGAACUUAAUAACCCAGAGGAGGAAAAGUGUUCUCAUUAAAAAAAACAUUUUUCAUGGAAACCCUAAAAUUUCCAAGUUUUUCUAAGAAGAUUCUUUGAGUGCAAGCAUUGAACACGCUAACCCUAGGUUUCUAGUUUUCUGAACAUGAAAAGAAUAAUCUUUUCAAAAACUGAGGCUUCGAAUUAGAAACCCUAGCGACCUGAAAAUCGAGGAACAAACAAACCAAACGAUCGAAUCGAAUAACGACAAAGGGAAAGGUAGAGAUCCAACCAGAGCCACGGCUCCAACGAAUCCAAAGAGGCCCGCUAGUGUAUGGUAGAUCCGGUCCUGCCACAAAGGCGAGUUGUUCACCUCGUCCCACCAAUUCGCCGCGCUCGUGAGCGCCACCGCCGCCACAUUCGGCACCACCGACGAGGCCAUCGGACCCCGCUGGAACUCCCCCCAAUAUUUGAAAUUCGAAUUCCCAGUGGCCGGUCCCUAAAAAUUCUCGGAUCCGAGAAGCUGGAGAGCCAGAGAUUGGAGAAAUCCAGGAGACCGAUAGAAGAGAAAAAAAAGGACCGAGGAAGGGAAAGGCGAGACGAAACCCGAAAAAAGACGAGAGGGCUGGGUUAAAACUUCAAAAACGGCCUCGGUUUGGAUUGUUGUAGCCGAUGGGCUGCUUCUAGCUCGUGCGGGAAACGGCCAGAUGAGUCGGACAGCCGGCAAUAGCCGGUGGGUUGGCUAGGGUAGACCGACACGUGGGAGUCUCCGCAGGGAACAGCUCAUUCGAUGGAGGUCCAGAUUGGCUGACGGCUAUGAUGCAAUCCCACGUGACGUGGGAAUUAUGUCGUUGCCGUAAUAAUUAUGCCACGUUGGAGUAGGGCAGCCCACGGCCGACUAGAACUAUCCUACGCUUUAACCUGGGAGGCCCAUCAAAUUAUGAGCUGGGCUGACGCCGGGUGAUAAAUUUUUGUCGCAAUUUAGAAUCCAAUUUAGCUUUGGAUGAUGACCAUCAUAGCAUGCUGGGGUCGGUUCAAAUCAGAGAUUCACUAGAUAAAUAAACUAUAAAGUCAUCAAAUUUUACCGCCAAAUAACCCCCGAAAAAAACUAAUAGGUGCUACUCCAAGAAGUCUUCACAUACAAAGUUCAUUAAAUAUUUCUAACCACUGGAAUCUAAACAAACAAAAAAGAUAGUGAAAGUCAUUUUUUCUACUCCUCUCUCUAGCUUCUGUUUUUUUUUCCUCUCUCUCCUUGUUUUACUUUCAUACUCUCUCUUUCCUUCCACCAAUUUAGAUAAUAAUAUUAUUUUGCAUCACCAUGAAACUCUAUAUAUGAGUGAGGACCAACACUCUUCAAUUGCUGCCUCAAGAGUAAAGUCUAUUUUCAAUAAUAUUUUUUGAUUGUGAUAAUUUUUUAGACCUCUAAGAGUUUAGAAUCAUCCUGGGGUGAUUCUCAAACCAUGUUACUGUUGAUUUGUAGGAGAAUGUGUGGUGGACUAUGAUCCAAAGUUGACUUUAUGAGCUUACUCGACAGUUUAAAACUUUACCAUAAUCAGUCCAGAGAAUUUUGGUACUAAAAACCCUCUGAUUUGAUAUCAAGUUACUUUAUCAAUUCACCUCGAAUGGCAUCAAUUGAAAUUUGGACAAGGAAGAUAUGGAUAAUAUGCCAAAGAAGUGAUACUAUUGCUUAAACUACCAAAUUUGCGGACACUAGUAGUAGCACCAGAUGCAUCUAAUGGUUCAAACGAAACUAUCAAGUCCAUAGAAAGAAAAAUAUUUUAGUGGAGGAAACUCACUUUACCAUGAAUUAGGUACCAUCAAAAUUUUUAAAACAACUACUUCUAAAUAUAGAAUUUGUUGGGAAUAGUCUUCUUGAUAUAGCACAAGGAAUCCCUACUAUUUGAUAUAUGCCUUGGUCCUUAUUGCAUCAAGAUAUAUGACAAACCCACGAAGGAAUAUGGUAAAUGGUCAAACACCAACAAGGUUGAAGAAAAAGCAUCAUAUGGCAGCAUUGAGAGCUGUACUAGAACAAACCUAAAGGUCCAUACCUCAUCAUUUGUACGAAGCAUUCUUAACACACCAAUAAUAUGUUAUCGCAUGCUAGAAAACUAAUCCACGAGUCCAAGUGCUUAAAUUUUGUGACAAAAAUAUUUCUUUGUUUGAUUAGAUUAACUUGCAAUCAAUCAAGGAAUCUAGUGCAAAUUAGUCUCAAAGAUGAGUUUAACAUUGUCAUUGCAGAUGGAGUUUGAGUUUCAAACUUCUUCAAUGCAUCGAUAUCUGUAAUCAAGUAAAAUUUCUAGCUCAUACUAAAUCACCAACAUCAGAGCUUGAAUAAGGAAGAUAUGGCUGAAAACAAAAUUGAUGCUAAUGUUUCCAUUUUUGGCAAUAAAGACUAGGGUGUUGGUGUGAAACCAACAACAGUGCUCUACAAUCAAUUGCGAUUAUUGUUAGUUUGAAAUUUGCUACUUUACAAGUCCUAUUUAGCCUAGGAGUAAACUCAUGCACCCUAUUAGCCAUCAAUAUAGGUUCUAAUGGCGACAUAAGUGCAUCAAAUGGUCCAGAGUUCUAUAAGCUUCUUUAAGGUAUGAGAUUGCUUAUAGAAGGUCACUUUUUUUUAGUGGUAUGAGGUUGUGUUGUCGAUUCAAUUAGUGAGAAGAAAGGAUUUUCUUUUCUUUCAUUCAUGUUGCCCCCUUAUGCAGCCUAAAAGAGAGGGUGAAUUGGAUUUUUUAAAAUUUUAAACUAUAAGUACAGUGGAAAGAUAACUUACUAAUGUGUAUGUGAUGUAAAAUGAGAGAUAUGAGCAAUAAGUAAGGUGAUAAACAAAAUAAAGAAAGAACGCAAUCAAAGCACCACAAAUACAAAAGAUUUAUAGUGGUUGGGUGCCAAACCAAGUAUCUACAUCCACUCUCCAAGUCCCCUACUUGAAAACUUCACAAACGAUUACAAUGUCAGAUACCACCGGCCAAACACCCUAGCUCUCCAAGCUAGUCACUUAUUUUCUGGAUACGAGCAAGCCUUACACACACUCCAUUUCAAGGUACGGAUCAACCUCUCUAAGUUUCAACUCAACUGAAUCUUGUCCCACGAAGACAAUGAAAUACAACAUAACAAUGAUUAAUAUACAAUGUCUACAAUUAAAGCUCCUUAGUGAGAAGAAAUAAAUCAAUUAAAAGCCCUUUUGAAAUGAUGGAAGAAAUCUCUUAAUGUCCACUCCAACUGGAAAUGCUUAAUGAAUGCUCUUGAAGUGGUUGGUGAAGUUGGAUUGAAUGCUUCUCACCCAAUGAAUGCUUUUCUUGCUUUGAAUGCUCUUUUCGCUAAUUCUUCUUGAGUUUUUCUCUUAUUUUUCAUCUUUUGGAGGCCUAUUUAUGAAGAGAAGCUGCUGAAAAGUGAUUACUAGCUGUUGAAGACAGUUGGAGAAAGGUUGAGCUCAUUUAAUGCACUUCAUUCUCGUUGGAAAACUAGCCGUUACAACCUGCAAGUACAGAGAGGUCGACCUCUGGUCUAGGGGUCGACCUCUAGAUGGAACCUAGAGGAAACUUGAAACACCAUCCCUCUGUUUUUUGCUUGUGGCACAUCAGGGACCGACUUAAAGGUCGACGCUUGGUCCGGCGGUCCACCUUAAGGUCCACACCUAGUCUGUGCCAAGCGUGCCACUCAUCUCCAGCAUGUUGGAGUCGACCUGCAGAUCAACAUUAUUAGAUGUAUGCCCUAAAAGCCAAUCUGCCUGAUACAUUAUUUAUUCUGAAACAUAAUUUUGUACUUGAGUUUGUUAUUAUUUAAUAAUAUUGGGCAUCUUUUUCAUUCAUGUUGUGUAUGUGUCCAUGAAUCGUCUAAGAAAUUAAUAAGAUGAUGAUAGAUAUUCUCAAGAGUUGAGAAUUUGAACCAUGUGUCAUUGAUAAUUAAUUCCUAAAUGCUUCUGAUCGAUGAAUCAUCACGAGGACGGUGAUUGAUCUGAUGAGAUUAGUGCACAGAUUGCUUUUCUUUUGGAUGGACGAGUCUCGAGUCCACAGUGUAGGGACACUGAAGUGAUAGUGCAGGUGCUUGUUAGAGAACAAGAGUACCGAGCGUGACCAAAGCAAGAAGUCACUUGGAUGUCUAUCCACUCGUCAGUGACUUACUUGAUGUUGCAAUGGUAUGACUGAUCUUUCGACCUGUGGUGCCUCAGCUAUUCACAAUGAGGUUGCUGUAGUUUGACUGCACAUAUACAUGGUCUCUAGCCAUAUGGGUUCUUGUAGUGCAGAUUGGCUGCAGUAGGUUCACUGUAGGAGUAGGGUAUGCACCUAUAUAAAAUCUAUCGAUCUUGAUAGAUAAAGAGUAGUCCUAUGUGAUUUAUGAGAUUGAGUUCGUAAGAUCUCGGCCAGGGCAGUAUGUACAGUGGAAAAAGAGUUUUCCACUCUCGAACUAAAGUCGAAAAAAUCUUAACAUAUGACAAACAAUGGGGUUUGACAGAUUAUCCAUGACAUCCGUCUCGUAGGGAUCUACGAUAGAAGGACUAUAUCAUACAAUAGUUGUACCUAGAAGUUUAUCUAUUUCAUUCUGCUGGAUUACCACUAUAUGCUGCUAGGUGUCACUGGUGGAUGGUGAGACUCACAGAAAUUAUCUUGAUGGUCAAUGAUCCUUGUUGAGAUGAGUUGGAAUUGUUCCAACCCAUUGAAAGGAGUUUUCAAUGAUAUUGUGAUAGGGAUAACAAUAUAUCUCACUACCAGACAGAAUAAAAACUAUGGGAUCACACACAUUAGAGGUUUUGAUCGAUCUAAUGGUUAGAUUGUGAUUUGGAAUCACAAUAAAUCAUGAUUAUCAAUUUGAUUGAUAAUUGGUUUAACCCACUAAGAGUUAGUGAGUUGAAGAAGGAAUAAUUGCAAUUGGAUUGUAAUUUGAUUGAAUCAAUUUGACUUAAUUAAAUUGGGCUUGACCUUAUUAGAUAAGGUUUAAGAGUCCUAUUUGCAGUAGGACUCCUAGAGUCCUAAUUAGAUUAGGACUGCAAAUUAUAAGAGUCCUACUUGGAGUAGGGCUCCUAGAGUUCUAAUUAGAUUAGGACUUGGGAAUCUUAAUGGAUGUAGAAUCCUAAUUGCAAUAGGACUCCUUAUUAGAUAAGGAUGAAGAAUCCAAAUUGCAAUAGGACUCCUUAUUAGAUAAGGAUUAAGAAUCCAACUUUUGGCGAGAGCAGUCCAUCCCCGAUAUUCGUCGUGGAGUGCACCCGGGUAUAGGCAGCAGAGAUCAUUCAUGCAGGCUUAACACAUGAGCCUUUAAGAGCUCGGGGCACCUGGGGCCCCCACUCUACUGAGGUAGCACCUCACACGGUGUUUUUCACCUAGGAGCCCCCACCCAUGAGCUUCUUUAAGGUCAACUUUGAUGGUUUUGUGCUGGAUGCGGCAGGAGAGGAGGUGCUGAAUUUGUCAUUAGGGGCCCGAACUUUAGGGUAGUGGCUACUGGUGCAUGCCAGAUCUUCGAUACCUCAGUUCUCUGGAGUAAAGUUGCAGGCGACUUGGGCUGGCCUAAGCCAUGCAUUGCGAGAGCUAUAGGCCAGCUCAAUUAUAUUGGAAGGCGACUAGACCACCGUGAUCAGCUGGAUCCAAGGUGGCUCGAGUGGCGGUGGAGAGGGACACCCUCUGCUUCGAGAUAUUUGGGCAAUAAUGAGUGACAGGGUGGCCUUUCAAGCUAACCAUGUAUUCAGAGAGGCCAACAGGCAGCGGACUAGGUGGCUUCUUAUGUAGCCUGCUACUCUAGGGGCACCCUGUGGGUUGGGGAGGUGUAGUUGCCUAAAGCACUCCGAGAUUUGUUGUUUUCUAAUUUUAUUGGAUGUAUCCGUGCUCGUAAUGUAUAAAAUAACUAUUUUUAGUAAAGAAGUAAAAAUAAAAGAGAUGGAGCUCGAUGAGACCUAUACAUUUUUUCUACUCACAAUAAUCAUUAGAGAAUCACGCUCAUAAUGGAUGAAAAGAGCCCAAAAUGAAUACGACCCACAAUAGACACGGCUCCAACAGAGUGAACAGGGCCGAAUAUGGCUCAAAAGGUAUACGAUCUAUAAUAGACACAACCCAACAGGAUGAACAGGGCCCGAACUCGGCCCACGAUGGAUGCGGCCCAACAGAAUGAAUAGGGCCUGUUAUGGGGGAAUUGAGCCGCCAUGCCCCACGUGAUCGGCACGCGUAUCCAGGAAAGCUACAGCUGCCCUAUGAUCCAGCACUCCGACCCCGAGUCGGACCUCCUCGGCUCCGCAGCCCNNNNNNNNNNNNNNNNNNNNNNNNNNNNNNNNNNNNNNNNNNNNNNNNNNNNNNNNNNNNNNNNNNNNNNNNNNNNNNNNNNNNNNNNNNNNNNNNNNNNNNNNNNNNNNNNNNNNNNNNNNNNNNNNNNNNNNNNNNNNNNNNNNNNNNNNNNNNNNNNNNNNNNNNNNNNNNNNNNNNNNNNNNNNNNNNNNNNNNNNNNNNNNNNNNNNNNNNNNNNNNNNNNNNNNNNNNNNNNNNNNNNNNNNNNNNNNNNNNNNNNNNNNNNNNNNNNNNNNNNNNNNNNNNNNNNNNNNNNNNNNNNNNNNNNNNNNNNNNNNNNNNNNNNNNNNNNNNNNNNNNNNNNNNNNNNNNNNNNNNNNNNNNNNNNNNNNNNNNNNNNNNNNNNNNNNNNNNNNNNNNNNNNNNNNNNNNNNNNNNNNNNNNNNNNNNNNNNNNNNNNNNNNNNNNNNNNNNNNNNNNNNNNNNNNNNNNNNNNNNNNNNNNNNNNNNNNNNNNNNNNNNNNNNNNNNNNNNNNNNNNNNNNNNNNNNNNNNNNNNNNNNNNNNNNNNNNNNNNNNNNNNNNNNNNNNNNNNNNNNNNNNNNNNNNNNNNNNNNNNNNNNNNNNNNNNNNNNNNNNNNNNNNNNNNNNNNNNNNNNNNNNNNNNNNNNNNNNNNNNNNNNNNNNNNNNNNNNNNNNNNNNNNNNNNNNNNNNNNNNNNNNNNNNNNNNNNNNNNNNNNNNNNNNNNNNNNNNNNNNNNNNNNNNNNNNNNNNNNNNNNNNNNNNNNNNNNNNNNNNNNNNNNNNNNNNNNNNNNNNNNNNNNNNNNNNNNNNNNNNNNNNNNNNNNNNNNNNNNNNNNNNNNNNNNNNNNNNNNNNNNNNNNNNNNNNNNNNNNNNNNNNNNNNNNNNNNNNNNNNNNNNNNNNNNNNNNNNNNNNNNNNNNNNNNNNNNNNNNNNNNNNNNNNNNNNNNNNNNNNNNNNNNNNNNNNNNNNNNNNNNNNNNNNNNNNNNNNNNNNNNNNNNNNNNNNNNNNNNNNNNNNNNNNNNNNNNNNNNNNNNNNNNNNNNNNNNNNNNNNNNNNNNNNNNNNNNNNNNNNNNNNNNNNNNNNNNNNNNNNNNNNNNNNNNNNNNNNNNNNNNNNNNNNNNNNNNNNNNNNNNNNNNNNNNNNNNNNNNNNNNNNNNNNNNNNUAAAUCGCUGAGAAGAGGUGGACGGCUGAGAGCUGAUCACACGCGCUGGGGCGCGGUGGAAUCGCCACGGACGGCCGGAUGUUGGACUCGGGACGCUGAAUGCUUCGUGGACGCACGAGAGAAACACUUGAUCGCAGGUUCCAAGAGCUGGGAGAAAGGCUGAUCGCGGCAUGAUUUGAUCACGGAUCCUGAGACGCGGACGGGUCUUGAGAGGGCUGAUGUGGCUAACGGACACGGCAAGGAUGCUGAAGUGCUUAUGAAUGGCUGAAUCUGGGCUCUGUUCUGCAGCUGGAAAGAGAUGAAUUUAUAUAAUGAUAAAAAUUAUAAUAAGUGCUAAGGGUAAAAUAUUUAAUCAUGUAAAUGUUAACACCUAUUAUUUUCAUUAUUUUGCUUGCAUUAGGCUAAGUUAAUUGGUACUUAGAUCGCACUUUUGUGCUCUCAUCAGCUGGAGGCUAGAAAACCUUAGCUUCGGUUUCUAUUAAAUAAUCUAAGACCUCCCCCAAUUUACCCCACCACUGAACAAGCCACCAACUAUCCUAUUCUUCCUCUCUCUACGACUCAUUGCCAUGCCACUGCUCUAUUUUCCUCAAAAUCCCAAUCAAGAUAUUACUAGAGAUGAGGUAAUUGUGCCUAGCCACUUUCUCUCUCAACUUACUCUUGAAUAGAACCAUACUGCUAGUUGGGAUCUCCUCGAAAGAAUAUUGGAUCUCACCAUUUCAAUGUGACCACCUGCUAGCCCACUAUGACUACUAGCAACACACUCAUCACUGUGGCCCUCUUUCCCCUUCCAAAAGAGGCGGUGGAGCCUUCUUCCACCCAUCUAAAUCUCUAUUUCUUCCAUUCAGUUUCCAUCGCCACUUUUUACCAAACCUCCGGCGGUGCUCAUUGUGUGACCGUUGAGCCAACCACCUCGCUUUCCUUCUAUUUCCCCUUAAGAAGGUCACAAAUAGCCCUCCUCCUGGGUUUGGCCAAGUAUAAGAAAAGAGGGAGAGUGUUCUCUAUUUUCUUCUUCUCACACGAGCUCUCUCUCUCUCUCUCCCUUCCUCUCACACGAGCUCUUUCUCUUCCUCUCUAGUCUAUGGGCGGGCCCCGAUAGAGGGUCCUUCUCAUUGUUUCUCUAUGCCCCUAUUGAUCCUAGUAGAGAGUCUCGAACUAGUGUUUCCAUGAUCGUCUACUGUGUUCGGCCCCACCCUAGCUUUAGCCGGGUAGCAUUGGACACCAUUAUUGAAAACACUUUUAUAUCACUUUUGUGUUGAUAGAACUCUUAGUUCAUAAUCCUUUGGUAAAAUUACAUAUAACCUAUCUGGACUGUCAAUCAUCGCCACUUGGCUAAUUGUACUUUUUUGUCUCUUUCAAGAUCUUCCACCAUUAAUCAAGAACAUGAUAGUUUUCCAAAUUAUUAGUUGUGGUUCCUAAGGAUGCAAUUGAUCAGACAAGAAGAUGUUGAGCAAGAAAUUUUCUAGUCUCUAAAUUGAGGUAAAAUCUAAUUUCUUACUUAUUUAUGUAGUCUCAAAUUAAGUAGGAUAGAACUAAUUGGGCUAAGAGUAAUUUGGAUAUUAGAGAUAAAAUUAGAAGUUUGGUAGUUUUUUAUUUAUUUCUUGUUCUAAAGGUUAAUGUGGACAAGUUGGAUUUAGUGAUUUUAGGUGUACCCUAGUAAACAUUGUACUUGGGUCUAUCACCGAUAGAGGUAAAUAACAUAGCACUUCAUAGUGUUUUUUCUUUACAAUUUGUUAGAAGAAAUGAUUUGAAAAAAAAAUACGAUUAGUAUAUUAAUAUUACUUUAUGAUCUCUGCUUUCGGUUUGACAAAAGGAAUUAAGCAUGUUGUUAUUAUUUUUCUAAUUAUUUAUUUUUGGAAUGAAAUAAGAAUAUAGUAUGUGUUUUGAUAUUCUAGUAAAUGAGUUAUUUUUGAACACAUAACAAAUUUGAAAAAUAUGAUUGGGUAAUUGUGAAGUUGCUUAUAUUAUAUUAUAUAUAUAUAUCCAUACAUACAUACAUAUACAUAUAUAUACAUACAUACAUACAUACAUAGAUACAUACAUAUAUAUAUAUAUGUAUAUAUAUUCUCAACAUGACUAUGGUUUGGCCUCGAAUUGUAUAUUGUGCCUAUCAACUUAUAAUCUGCAAAAAUAGUUUCGAUACCGAGCCAUUAGUGAUUAAAAUAGUGGUAUAUGUUAUCUGUUUUUUGGCACCUAGUGCAUCUUCUAUCUGUUACAUCUAUGUUUGACCCAUACUACUAGGUUAUAUAGCCAUAAACUGACGUUGAGUUUAGUAUCAGUUUAUAAAAAGCAAUUUUUUUGAAAGAUAUAUAUGUAUUUUCUGCAAAUUUGCUGAGAAAAUAAGUUUACUGCCAGUAAAUAUUAUGUUUUAAAUUACUAAGUGAUGAUUUAUUAUUACCUAGUGAUGUUUUGGGCUUUUUAAAAUUUUAACCUACAAGUGCAGCGAAAUGAUAACUUACUAAUGUGUAUAUGAUGUGCAAAGAGAGAUGAACAAUAAGUAAAGUGAUUAGCAAGAUGUAUAAGGCACACAAUCAAAAUAUGAUAAACACAAAAAUAUUAUAGUGAUUUAGUGCCAACCAAACACGUACAUCUACUCUCAAGCUCUCUACUUAAAAAUUUCAAUCCACUAAUCAUUUACAAACGAUUACAACAUCGGAUACUACCGGCUAAACAAUCCUAGCUUUCCCAAGCUAGUCAUUCAUUUUUGGGCACAGACAAGUCUUACACACACUCCAUUUUAAGGUACAGAUCAACCUCUCCAAGUUUUAGCUCAACCGAAACUUGUCCCACAAAUACAAUGAAAUACAAUGUAACAAUAAUCAAUAUACAAUAAAUACAAUCAAAGCUCAUUAGUAAGUAGAAAUAAACUAAUUAAAGCCCUUUUGAAAUGACGAGAGAAGGCUUUUGAUGUCCACUUCAAUGGGAAUGCUCAAUGAUUGCUCUUGAAGAGGUUGGUCAAGUUGGAUUGAAUGCUUCUCAUUCCGUUAAUGCUUUUUUUUCCUCUGAAUGCUAUCCCCCCUGAUUCUCCUUAAUUCAUCUUGAUUUCUCUUUUUAAUUACUGCUUGUUUUCUACCUUUUCGAGGUCUAUUUAUGGAGAGAAGCUCCUGGAGAGCAAUUACUAGCUGCUGAACUCCAUUAGAGAAAGGUUAGAAAUCAUUUCAUGUGCUUCAUUCUCGUUGAAAAACUAGCUGUUAUAGUUUGCCAAUGUAGAGCGGUUGACCUUGGGGUUGACACUUCGUCUAGGGGUCGACUAGGUUGAUGUUCGUCCGUUCCUGUUUACUUAAAAAUACGCUAAACAGAUUGUUGUUAGAACCGACAAACAAAGUUUAAUUUAAUUAUACUCUUAUCUUUUCUACUCGAAGAAUAGUGGUCGUAAGAGGUCGAUCCACAGGAAGGCGAUUGGAGUUGCAUAAAAAUUAGAACGUUCACUCGGAUUCAAAGCCAAUUUUUGAAUAAUAAAAGAAAAAUAUUACGUCGGGGAUGUUGAAUGUUUUCUAAUUGAAACUAACUAAAAGACAGGUACUUAGAUUUGAAAAGCAUUUAUUUAGUUAAUCAAAGAAGAGCUUUGGCAUAAAUUAAAAUAGACGACACUAAGAAGAUUGAAGCCUGAAACAUCAAUUUCAUAAAAGAAAAUUAAAUAUAUUGCAUCAAAGAAAAAUUAAAAGAUUGCAUAAUUUGAAGAACGAAAAUUAAUUACAACAGAAAUUACAACUUUAGCAUAAAUAAAACUCUCUAUUAAAAUAAAACUAAAAACCCCAAAACACAUACUCUCAAAAUAAAACUCUUAAUAAAACAAAAAAAAAUAAAAUAAAAAAAACAAACAAACAACGUGCUCUGUUUGAAAACAGAGCACGAACUCCUCUUCCUUUUCCCCAAAACAGAGCUCCACCUCCCUCCUCCUUGGACCAGCCGGCCACCACCCCCCCUCCCGAGCUCUCCUCUUCCCUCCUCUUAUAGUUGUGAGGUGCUGAAAUUAGGGGAGGAAUCACGGACGACCGAUUGCAGAUGCGGAAGAGGGAACAUCCGGGGUGCGUGAUCGAUGGGAUUGGGUCUCCGGAAGCUGGCCGCGGGAUGAGAGGCUGAGGCGGAAAGAAAUGGAUGUUUGGAAUGCUGGGAUCACGCCUUGCAAUCCGAUGGGAGAAGCUUGAUUGCAGCGUGGGAUGCCGUGGAAGAUGGAUACGGACGAGGCUUGCCGACGGAAGGAGAUAGCUGCGGGAUCACGGGCUGGAGCGCUGAUCAUGGGAGCAAGAAGAGGGCGGAUGGGCGCGGGAUCCUUUCUUCUCCCCUAUUUCCGCACGGGAUGAAGCUGUGAGAUGGGAGGGAUCGCGAAGGAGGAAGAGGGCAGACGGGCUCUUGGGCUGCUGGGAUUCGGAUCGCGGAAGAAUCAUGGGCGGAAGGAGCUGGAUUACCGGCUGCUGGGACGCUGGGAGGAGCCGACCACGGCCGCGGUGGAGACUGGGAUCACGGAAAGGAUUGGCUGAAGAUCAUGGUUUGGAUGCGGCUGGAGGAGAAACGGACGUGUGAUCCUCUCUUCUCCCCUGUUUCCGCACGGGCUGGGAUUUGAUCUGGAAGAUGGACGGCCUGGCACGGUGGUUGUUGAUGGUUGGGUGUGUUCUCAACGGAUGGAGAUGAACCUGAUGAAACAGGUUUGGGAAGUGGGAUGCUUGGUUUGAUUGCGUUGAUGGCGUGGACGGCCGGGAUUUCAUGCAUGCAUGGCAGCUGGGGAAUUUGUUGAGCUCGGGCUGCCGGGCAUUGGGCUCAAACCCAAUGUUAUUGGGUCUCUUGGAUUCCUUGCACUCAAACACAAAUACAACGUUAAUUAAUUAAUUUUAUUAUUAAAGAUUAACUAUAAUACUAAUUAAAAUGGUACGACGAUUGCACUUUUGUGCUCUCAUCAGUU